RNAcentral lists this long non-coding RNA (48754 nucleotides) under Capsella rubella. RNAcentral describes it as "long non-coding RNA (CRUB_LNC001512)". The record is from RNAcentral. Lineage: Eukaryota; Viridiplantae; Streptophyta; Magnoliopsida; Brassicales; Brassicaceae.
UUUUCUAGCAACGUUGGCAUGUAUGUUAUAUAUGUACAUACAUGAUAUUUUCCAAAGGUCCAUACAUGAUUUUUUUUUUUUUUUUUUUUGGGUGUAUAUAUAGAAUAACAAUGCUCCCAUGGAAGAACUUGAGUCCUGCAUCGGAAGUACAAAGAGGAACUUUUGGGAAGAGACAAAACCGUUUCCCAGCCGUUACUUCCGUGCGUAUACCGUAUGGCUGAUUAACUUUAGCGGUUCUAAAGAAGAGUUUGCUCUAGCUUCGUGCUUGAUAGCGCAAGGAACAGUGGUCAAGAAAAUGUUAAUCAGACCUUCGUCGAUUCCUCUGAGUAACAAGUUCGAGAUAGAAGAGGCAGUGACCAGGCUAAACGAACUUCCAAAAUGUUACACAAAACUUAGUAUCACAACGUUCUGAUGGAAUUUGGUUCGAAUCUAGCUAUUGGUGAUAUAAAGAAAAAAAACCUUUUAUGAUUUGCUGUUUAAUAUGAAAAAUUAUGUAGUGUCCGCUUUCAAGUACUUCUUUUGGCAUUUGAUUUUAUGUUUCAUAUAUUUGGGAUCUAAAUUGUAUCAAUCAAUUUGAAACUUAUCUGAUUUUCUUGAUGAAUUAUUUAUAUUUUUUACUGCAUAUGAUUUGUUUUACCCCUAUUUUGAAGUCUUUGAAAUAGUCCACAUGUCUUUGAGGCUUUGACAUAGUCCACAUUUAUAAGAGACUUCAUUAAAGUUAUGUUAAGGAUUCUAAACAACUUCAUUAAAGUUAGCGUCUAAAUUUGAUUAAUCGGAGCUUAGGCCAGGCCUAGCAAGUUAGUAAAUUAUUUAUUACUUAAAAAAAAAAAAAUCAACAUUUUAUAACAAACAUGAUCUAAAAAAUAAAUGCUAUAAGUGAUUACAUAUAUUCACACAUAAGUUUAUAUGAGAACUAAAAUAAUUUGUUCCGAUAAAUAUAAAAUUGGAAUUGUAUAUAAAAUAAUUACAAUUGUAUUAAAAAGCCUGGAGAUCAUUACUUUUUAAUUAAUGGCAUUGAAGUGUUCAUAGCUUAAGAAGCCUGGAUAUCAUUACUAUUAUCAUUUAUCUCAAUAUUCCCCAAUAAUAUAUAGGGGAUAACCGGAUUAGUCUCUCGAAAUAUAAUCGAAAUCAAUUGUAUUAUAGGAAGACUGAAAAUAAAUUGAUAUUAGACUUAAGAUUUGAUUAAAAGAUGAGUUUCAAGCUAGUAGAAAAAGUGUCUCAAGAAAUAUGUGUGUGACAUAAGGUUUUUUUUCCGGAUAACAGCAUAAAUGAACUCAAGAGAUAUCUGAAGUGAAAAUUUGGCAUUGGUAAGAUCCAAAAAGAGUGCAAAGAUAGAUUUCGGCUUUGAAUUCAUAAGAAGAAUCUCAUGGGACGUUUUCAAGGACCAAACAAUUUGUAAAACAAGAAGCAUCAAUGUAUCGCAGAAGCAGAAAAAAAAAACUCAAUUUGUAACAAAUAAUGGAUAGGAGUUGAAGUUUUGGAUUAGAAUUCUAGCAUGUUAAAAUAUAACUAAACACAAAAUGUGAUUAAUCGGACGAAAACUAGAUUUUCAGCGUAUUAUAAUUAUUUAACGAAAACAUUUUAUUUAGUCAUAUUAUUCUGCUAACAAUUCUUCAUAUAUUCUGUUAUUUUCCUAUUUUUAUGACAUAUCAGUCAAUAUGAAUAUUGAUCAAUAAUUAAUAUAUUAACAUAUAAGCCUCUCAGGAAUUGUUAUUCAAAUUAGUAUCUAAGGAAUUAGUAAGAAGAAUCCGUUGAAUCCUUAAGUACAUGUCUUUUGAGAAAUUAUUUUGGUCAAAAGUCUGGAAUUUUGUAAUAACAAUAUAUUUUAUUCCUUAAUCAGCAUCCUGAUCAACCCUUCUAUAUAUUAAACCUCUAUCUUUUCGUCCCACAAUUUCAAUCAACUCUUCCUUUGUCUUUUUCUUUAUUUCUCUCUAUUGUUGAUCAAAAAUGAAAGUGCCAGUGACAUGGGUGUUCUUAAUGUGUUGCAUCUUUGGUUGCCUAAGUAUAAUUCAUAACAAUGAAUUCGCCGAAGCCAAGAGAUUUUCUAAAUUUGAAGAUUUAGAAAUCGAGAAGAGGCUAAAGGCUAUGAACAAACCCGUAGUCAAGAUCAUCAAGGUAUUCACAUAUUUUUCACAAUCUUGCUGGUAUUCUCUAUUAUAAUUUACAAAUAAGUAUAUAUGCUAAUCUCUAUUAUUGCUGCAAAUAAUAGACUAUAGAUGGAGAAAAAUAUGGAUGCGUGGAUUUUUUCAAGCAACCAGCAUUUGAUCAUCCUUCUAUGAAAAAUCACACAUACCAUUACAAGGUAUAAAAUAUCACUAUAUCAGUUCUAUAUGCUUAUAUUCUCUUUAUUAAGAACAUAAAAAGAAUCGGACAGUAUAAUAUGUUUGUUGUGUUCGACAUGUCUUAGAUGCGUCCAAUAUGGAAGAGAAUGAUGAUAGAAAAAAAGACAAACAAUUCUGGAUUUGGUUACUUAUGGGAGAAUGGUGUGGGUUGUCCCAUUGGCACGGUCCCUAUAAAAAGAGUCACCAAAGAAGAUCUUUUAAGACUAGACUCAUUUGGUGAUGAUUAUAAACCUAGUGGCUCAUGGAACACUACUGCAGAUGAUCCUAAUGAUGUUCUCAAUUACAAGACACAUCAUGUAAGUUGCUUCUUUUAUAAUCAAAACAAGAAUUCUCAAGAUUACAUUUCUGAUAUAUUUAUAAUGAUAAAUUAAAACGUUUUGGGUUUCAAUAUAAAAAUGAAUGGGAUUAGUAUGCGGUGGCUCGAUCAAUAGACCCAGAACAGAGGUUGAAUGGAGCAACAAUGGAACUUUGUAUAGCCGCGCCUAAGGUUGCGCCAACGCAGUUCAGUACUUCUCGACUUCACAUUCAGAUGGGAAAGGAAUUCAUCCAAACCGGUUUUACCGUAAGUUACUUUCAGUACUCAUAAAACCACUACUACUAUAUAGUUUAUUUAUUUAAUUACUUGAAAAUAUAUAUGUAUAUUACAAUGUUUGAUAAAUAGUUGAAUAAAAGAACACAAAUGUUAUUUACAAAUUCAGGUAAAUCCAGGAUUGUACAAAGACCACAAACCUCGGACUUUCGUCUAUACAAAUGUAAGUCAUGAGUCACAUCACGCUACUAAAAUUAUCUCUUUCGAAAUUUAUCAUUAUGUUACGUUAUUGACUAUAUAAUAUGUAUGAAGUAAUUUAUUUUAUUGAGAUAUAUAAUGAUGGAACAGGCAGGUGGGAAAUCAUGUUACAAUAGCAACUGCGACGUUGGAAUAAUGCUCGUUCGUCAAGAUUUUCCACUUGGUACGGCAUUAACGCCAGUAUCUGUUCGUGGUGAUAAGAUAAGUCACUAUGGAAUCUUUGGUCUAAUCAAGGUUUUGCUCAUUUCCUUAUCCUCCUAUCAAAAAAAAAAAUCAUACUAUUUGGUUCACCCAUUACAAAGUUUUGCUCGGUAUGUAAUAUCAAACUUUACCUAUAUUAUGUUUGUGGGAUAACAGGACCAAAAAAAUGGAAACUGGUGGUUGCAAUUUGGUGAUCAGGGAGAAGAAGUUGGAUUUUGGCCGUCGACUAGGUUUCGCGAACACUAUGGGAAUUUGGUCGAGUGGGGUGGAGAAGUGUAUAGCGCAUCACUACCGAGUCCUGAAAUGGGAUAUGGAUAUUUUCCUAAGGAAGAGGAAGCUUAUGAUGUAUAUAUGAAACGUAUAUCGGUACUCGACGAUGGUUAUAACGUAGACCGAAGUGUGGACUAUCUCCAACAAUUUUCAGACGACGAACGCGGCUAUAGAGUGAUAGACGACACCAAGAUUUCCAAAUACCCUCGUGCCGGUCAUAUUGUCUUCUUUGGUGGUCCGGGAAAAAUAUGAAAAAGGAUUAGAUCUUUGUGAAAUUCAAAUGAAAACGUUACAUUGACUUGAUUAUUCAGUGAAUUAUAUCGCCUUUAUUGGGUUCUUUAUAACAAAGUUUUAAUUAAUUGAACUGAAUUGGUCCGGUAAAUACAUAGCCAAGUCCACAUAAAAAAAUUUCAUAAACCAAUUCUCUUUGUUUUUGUUAUUUAUUCAACCAAAAACCAUCCUCUAUACUUAUUAGAUUUAUCUGAUUUUUUUAAAUUAAAAUGGAUAUCUCAGUGUAAAUAUUCUAGUAGAAUAAUCUCUAAUACUUAAGAAAAAUUAAUACAGCAGAAACUAUAAAUACACUUAUCAAUCAAAUCUUAUCCCAAUUUUUUAGAUUUUUGUUUUAUUUUCUUUUAGACAUGUUAAAUGUAUUUGAAAAAAAAAAUUAUCCCAUAUGUGUGUAAUAGAUAAACAUAAGUAUGUUAAUAAAAAUGUUGAACAAUAAAAAAUAAGUUAAUACAACUAAUUAAAGAAGGUCUAAAUAUUUUUGAAUUUUGUAAAUUAUACUAUUACAAGAUCUUGAUUUAUUUUUCCAUAUUUUAGGACAUAUUAUAAGAUUUGAAUCAUCUGAUCUUUAAUUUGACUGGGGAUAUGUACUUGUAUCUAUUAUACAUUCAUAAUUUAUGGAUUUGGCUUCCAUAUACCCUGUUUAUGAAUAACCAAUAUUCAAUGAUUAUAAUCAAAUGUAAUUAAAACCUCCAAUAUAAAUAAAUCUCUACAGCAUAAAUACAUUGUCAAGAUAAUAUCUCUCUUACACACAAAUAUAUAUAAUCAUGUACUAGCAACUUCACAUAAUGAGAAUUCUAAUCAACAAUUAAAAGUCUGGACAAUGGCUUCCCUUGGUUUGAGUCUCUGUCUUUUCUCCGUUCUUCUCAUGAGCCUUUGUCAAAUUCCUACAGCUAUCGAAGAUGAAAGAAAGGCAAGUCAUUUCUGUUUUGUCUCGUAACCAUAAUAACUAAUCUACGGUCUUAAUAAAUUUGUAUUGGUCUGUGACAUUUUGGAGCAGGUGUAUAUUGCGUACAUGGGAGCUCUUCCUUCAAAAGCUUCUUACUCUCCUAUGUCUCACCAUCAGAAUAUCCUUCAAGAAGUUAUCGAAUCAAGGUUUGAUAUAACAAUCUUAAAUUUCUCAUUACUAAAACCUGUUUCUUGUUGUUUACGUUAUAAUUUUUUCUAUUUUUAAUCUGCAGUUCCGUUGAAGAGUCUUUGGUUAGAAGCUACGGAAGAAGUUUCAAUGGUUUUGCAGCCAGACUUACUGAAUCUGAAAGAGAUAAACUUAUGGGUGAGUGUGUUUUUAUGAUUGUAACAGAUUAUAUAUGAGACUCUCGUCAUGAUGGUUAUUUGAUGAUAAUGUCAUGUGUGAAUUGAAGGCAUGGACGGUGUGGUUUCGGUUUUUCCAAAUACCAAUUAUAAGCUUCUUACAACAAGAUCUUAUGAGUUCAUGGGACUUGGUGACAAGAUCAAGCAUGCCCCUAAUGUUGAGAGCAAUAUAAUAAUUGGUGUAAUCGACACCGGAGUCUGGCCUGAAUCCAAGAGUUUUUCAGAUAAAGGCAUCGGGCCAAUACCAAAAAAAUGGAAAGGAACUUGUUCAGGAGGAGCUAAUUUCACAUGCAAUAGGUAAGUAGCAUUUUCACAUAUUCUUCUCAAAGUUUCUUGUGUUACACGAAAGGAUCAAAAGAUAAAGAUUAAUAACCCUAAUCCAAAUAUUACAGGAAGUUAAUUGGAGCACGAUACUAUGUGCAGAAUUCAGCAAGAGACACUGACGGUCAUGGGUCACACACGGCUUCAACAGCCGCAGGAAACAAAGUAAAAGGAGUGAGUGUCAACGGUGUGGCACAAGGAACUGCGAGAGGCGGUGUGCCUUUAGGUAGAAUUGCUAUUUACAGAAUUUGCGAGCCAGCAGGAUGUAAUGCCGCGUCAAUGUUAGCUGCGUUUGACGAUGCUAUAGCGGACGGAGUGGAUGUUAUAACCAUUUCUAUUGGAGGAGGUGUUACUAAACUUGAUAUUGACCCUCUCGCUAUUGGAUCAUUUCACGCGAUGCGCAAAGGGAUUGUUACCACAGCUGCUGCCGGGAAUGAUGGCCCUAAACUUGAAAAAGUGAUUAACAUUUCACCGUGGCUCAUAACCGUUGCAGCAGGUACAAUUGAUAGAAAGUUUGUUACUAAUGUGGUUACUGGAGAAGGCAAAACCAUACCGGUAAGUAGUUUUUCUCAUGUUUUAGUUGAUAUAUAUUGUCCUCAAUCAUGGUGAUUAAGUAUGAACGUACAGGGAAGAUCGAUCAAUGACUUUGACUUAAAAGGGAAGAAGUAUCCGUUGGCAUACGGGAAAACUGCCUCAAAUACCUGUCCAGAAGAGAAAGCAAGGUAACUUGUGUCUCAAGGACUCCACAGCGCCCUAACUUGUGACUCAAGCAUUUUUCAUUUUAUGGAUAUAUCUUCAUUUACUGGCAUUCAUUCUCUUGUAGGGCUUGCGCCAGUGGUUGCCUGAACACGGUACAAGGAAAGAUUGUUGUGUGCGACAAUUCAAACAAUGUUAUGGAACAAAAAGCCGCAGGUGCAGUUGGAACUAUCCUUCAUGUAACCAAUGUUGAUACUCCUGGUCUUGGUCCUAUUGCGGUUUCAACCUUGGAUGAUACCAAUUAUGAAGCAUUACAUUCUUACGUUCUCUCCUCACCGUAAGAAUUUUCUUCGCUAGACACUCUUUUAAUUAGAUAUUUUUUAAGAUGUUUGAUGCAAAUCGUUGAUGUGAAAUAGAAACCCGCAAGGAACUAUAAUGAAGAGUGGGACAGUUAAAGACAAUGAUGCUCCCAUAGUUGCUUCUUUCUCUUCUCGUGGUCCGAACAUUCUCUUUAGUGAUAUCUUGAAGGUAACAAAAUUCAAAGAACGUUGCAUUUGCAUGAAUUAGGUUAAGUGUCUUGACAACUACUAUAUAUAUAUGCAGCCGGAUAUAACAGCUCCAGGAGUAAAUAUAUUAGCAGCAUAUACACCAGUGGCUGGAACCGCGCUUCCAGGACAAAGCGUGGAUUACUAUUUCAUGAGUGGAACAUCAAUGGCUACCCCUCAUGCCGCAGGUGUAGCUGCCUAUGUCAAGACGAUCCAUCCUCAUUGGACCACUUCUGCUGUCAAAUCUGCUAUCAUGACUACCGGUAUCAACAUCGAACCGAAUUUUUCACUGAAGAAAAUAUUAUUGAUGUGACAUCUGAUCUGAAUCUUUUUAUGUUUUUGUUGCAGCUUGGGCAAUGAACCCUUCGAAAAAUGCAGAAGCUGAGUUUGCAUAUGGAUCAGGAUAUGUUAACCCUUCAGUAGCAGUUGAUCCAGGACUUGUUUACGAAAUACCUAAAGAGGAUUACUUGAACAUGCUUUGCUCUAUGGACUACUCAUCCAAAGGACUUAGUACUAUUGUGGGCGGUAACUUCACUUGUUCUGAAAAAUCUAAGAUUAGCAUGAGAAACCUCAACUACCCAUCAAUGACAGCCAAAGUUUCAGCCUCAUCAUCUUCUGAUAUAACUUUUUCAAGAACCGUCAAAAACGUUGGGAAAAAGAGAUCCACUUACAAGGCAAAACUGUCUGGGAAUCCCAAACUCAGCAUCAAGGUUAAGCCAGAGACUCUCUCUUUCAAGUCACUGGGGGAGAAGAAGUCUUACACCGUUACAAUAUCAGGCAAGAGUCUUGCUGGUAUUUCUGGUAUUGUGUCUGCGUCUCUGGUCUGGUCGGAUGGUUCACACAAUGUGAGAAGUCCUAUUGUUGUGUACACUUAGGCAUGCAUCAAUCUCAUUUUGAAGACAAUAAUUGCAUGUAUUUGAUGUUAAAUAAAUUUUAGUUUGUUGGGUUCUAUUUUGUUUUACCUUUCAUGGUUCAAACUCAGUCUAGCUAGGUUAUAUAUGAUAUAACUUGUGAUGUAAUAAACUAACUAAAUGGUUCACCUCUUCAAAUUCUAAUUAUCCUACAACUUGGACUGAUCCAUUUUGCCUCCCAUUAUCAAACACAACAUUCACUCCGUUCUACAAAUUUAUAAUCCAUUACAUUUUUCCGACAUGAACUAUAUAUGAUGUAUUUGUCGAAAGUAUUUCAUGCAUGUGACAUUUUAACGUUUUUAGGAUAUUUAUUUGAAUGUGCUUCUUAAUUAAAUUAAUUCUAUAGACGCUUUCCAUGCGUCAUGCAUGGAACAUUUCUUUCGAAAUUAUAUAUGUUUUUUUCGGAAAAAAAAAUGUGUUUUGGGGUAAGAAAUCUCUAUUAGUUAUCUAUACUUGGAAGUAAGUUUUUUGUCAUAUAUUUUUAAAAUCUCUAUACCAACUCUAAAUUUCAGAAUAUACGAUAUCAAAGUAUCUUUGGAAAAGGAAAGAAUAAUUAUUUAUACAUCGAUCUACAUCGAGUCCUACUAAUUAUAUGUAAAUAUGAAAUUAUUACUGUCGUUUCAUUAGAUUUUUAACUUUAAGGUUAUCCCAUAUUUUCAUCUUCAAUAGCUGUAAUAUCACAACAAAUACCAUCCCAUAUUUUCAAAAAUGUUAAGAACAAUUUAGUAAAGACUUAAUAAUAAAUUAUGUAAUCAAUUUUAUAAUUUAUAAAGAAAUCCAUGCUCUCUAGAGAGUAUUAAAACCAUUAUCUGUACUAAAAUAAAUUGAAAUAAAUAAAAAAAAUCUUUAAAAUGGAUCCUAACAUAUUAUUAUAUUUUGUAAAUAAAUUCAAAUAACAUUACAGAAACCAUGAUGUGUGAAAACACCAUUAAUCAAUCAAAUCUAUUCAUAUUAUUAUGUAUAGGUUCUUAAAUAAUUAAAUAAUAAAUAAAAUAAAAAAUAGAUAAUGGUAUUUUAUAAAAACAAUCUAACAGUAGUAAUAAACCUUGCCAUAGACUGAAAAUAUUAAAUAUAUAAUUAAUUCCCAUAUUUCAUUGCAUUGUCACGAUCAUUUCUCUCCAUAAGUAAUAUAGCCACAUAUUCUCUCUAUAUAUAUGAUAUGAACUAGCAACUUCAACUCAUUGUUGUCAACAACAGUAAAAGGUCUCGUCUCUCGAUCGAUAAUGGCGUCCAUUGGCUUAGUCCUAUGUCUUUCCUCAAUUCUUCUCAUGAGCCUUUGUCAGAUUCCUACAGCUAUUGAAGAUGAAAGAAAGGCAAGUUAUUUAUGUUUCGUCUAGUAAACCACAAUAAUUUUAUAAGUAUGAUCUAAAUUUGUAUUGUGGUCUCAUUCACUGGUUGUGACAUUUUGACGCAGGUGUAUAUUAUUUACAUGGGAGCUCUUCCUGCAAAAGAUUCUUACUCUCCUAUGUCUCACCAUAACAGUAUCCUUCGAGAAGUUAUCGAAUCAAGGUUUGAUAUAAAACUCUCAACAACUUAGGGGGCUGAUCAAGCUAUAUUAAAAAUCAAAAAUAAAUUGGGAGGAUUUGUAAAUAGUUUUCUAUAUAAAUAUUUUAACAAUGUGAAUUUAUUUACCAAUGUAUUGUUGAUGAGCCGGCUCGAGUCAAAUUCUUAUUACCCAAAUUUUGUUGCUUGUUGUUUACGUUAAUGUUUGUUUAUUUUUGUUAUGCAGUUCCGUAGAAGAUUCUUUGGUGAGAAGCUAUGGAAGAAGUUUCAAUGGUUUUGCAGCCAAACUCACUGAAUCUGAAAGAGAUAAACUUAUUGGUGAGUACUUUCAUGAUUAUAUAAAGAUUAUCAAACUCUUCAUGAUUGUUAAUUUGAUGAUGUGAUAUUGUGUGAUUUGAAGGCAUGAAAGGUGUGGUUUCGGUAUUCCCAAGCAAGGUUUAUAAAAUUAUGACGACGAGAUCUUAUGAGUUCAUGGGACUUGGUGACAAGAGCAACCAUGUCCCUGAGGUUGAGAGCAAUAUAAUAGUGGGUGUAAUAGACGGUGGAAUCUGGCCUGAAUCUAAGAGUUUUUCAGACAAAGGCAUCGGCCCAAUACCAAAAAAAUGGAAAGGAACUUGCGCAGGAGGAGCUAAUUUCACAUGCAACAGGUAAGUAGCAUUUUCACUAAUUCUUCUCAAAGUUUCUUGUGUGACACGAAAGGAUCGAAAGACAGAGACUAAUAACCCUAAUUUAAAUAUAUACAGGAAGGUAAUUGGAGCACGAUACUAUGUGCAGGAUUCAGCAAGAGACACUGAAGGUCAUGGGUCACACACGGCUUCAACAGCCGCAGGAAACAAAGUAAAAGGAGUGAGUGUGAACGGUGUGGCACAAGGAACUGCGAGAGGCGGUGUGCCUUUAGGUAGAAUUUCUGUUUACAAAGUGUGCGAGCCAGCGGGUUGCAGUGGUGAUCGACUGCUGGCUUCGUUUGACGAUGCUAUUGCGGACGGGGUCGAUGUUAUAACCAUUUCUCUUGGAGGCGGUGUUACUAAAGUUGAUAUCGAUCCUAUUGCUAUUGGAUCAUUUCAUGCGAUGACCAAAGGGAUUGUUACUACGGUAGCGGUUGGAAACGCCGGCAUUGAACUUGGAAAAGCGGAUAACGUUGCACCGUGGCUCAUAUCCGUGGCUGCUGGCUCGACUGAUAGAAGAUUUGUUACUAAUGUGGUUAAUGGAGAUGACAAGAUGAUACCUGUAAGAAGUCUUUUUCUUGUUUCAGUUGAUAUAUGAAUGUGCUUGUCGUCGUCUAUCAUGGUGAUUAAAGUAUGUUCAUACAGGGGAGAUCGAUCAAUGACUUCGACUUAAAGGGAAAGAAGUAUCCUUUGGCGUACGGUAAAACUGCUUCAAACAACUGUACAGAGGAGCUAGCAAGGUAACUUGUGACUCAAAGAAUCCAUAGUGACCUAACUCACUAUACUAUGUUAUGGAUAAUUGGAUAUAUCGUUUGAUACAUUUUUUUUUAAUGGUAGAGGUUGCGAUAGCGGCUGCCUGAACACGGUGAAAGGAAAGAUUGUUGUGUGCGAUGUUCCAAAUAAUGUUAUGGAACAAAAAAAUGCAGGUGCGGUUGGAACUAUCCUCCAUGUAAACGAUGUUGAUACUCCUGGUCUUGGUCCUAUUGCGGUUUCAACCUUAGAUGAUACCAAUUAUGAAGCAUUAAGAUCUUACCUUCUCUCCUCACCGUAAGAAUCUGUUACAUAAACAAAUCUUUAGUUAGAUUCUCUUAUGUUAAUGACAUUUUUCGAUAUGAAACAGAAACCCGCAAGGAACUAUAAUGAAGACUGAGACAGCUAAAGACAAUGAUGCUCCAAUCGUUCCCACCUUCUCUUCUCGCGGUCCAAACACUCUCUUUAGUGACAUUUUGAAGGUAACGAACACUCAAAAGUCAAAACAAAUUAACCAAACUAUUUGGUUAUAACAGUUGAUCAAUGACUUGAGGUAUAUAUAUAUGCAGCCUGAUAUAACAGCUCCAGGAGUCAAUAUACUAGCAGCAUAUUCACCGUUGGGUCAAACGGCACUUCCUGGACAAAGCGUGGAUUACUAUUUCAUGACCGGAACAUCUAUGGCUUGCCCUCAUGCCGCAGGUGUAGCUGCUUAUGUCAAGACGAUACACCCUGACUGGUCAGCUUCUGCCGUAAAAUCCGCUAUCAUGACUACGGGUAAUUAUCAACAUCAAAUCGAUCUAAUCUCUGAAGGAAAAAAAUAAGUUGAAUGUGAUCUGGAUUGAUCCUUUUUGUUUUCAUGCAGCUUGGGCAAUGAACUCUUCCAAAAACGCAGAAGCAGAGUUCGCAUAUGGAUCAGGAUUUGUUAACCCUACAGUGGCAGUUGAUCCAGGGCUUGUUUACGAAAUAGCCAAAGAGGAUUACUUGAACAUGCUUUGCUCUUUGAACUACUCAGCUCAAGGCGUUAGUACUCUUGCGGGCGGAACCUUUACUUGUUCUGAACAAUCAAAGCUUACUAUGAGAAAUCUCAACUACCCUUCAAUGUCAGCCAAAGUUCCAGCUUCAUCAUCUUCAGAUAUCACAUUUACAAGAACAGUCACAAACGUUGGGAAAAAGGGAUCCACUUACAAGGCAAAAUUGUCUGGGGAUCCCAAACUCAGUAUCAAAGUCGAACCAGAUACGAUCUCUUUCAAGUCAACUGGGGAGAAGAAGUCUUUCACAGUUACAGUCUCUGGCAAGAGUCUUGCUGGUAUUUCUAGUAUCGUGUCAGCCUCCCUAAUUUGGUCAGAUGGAUCACACAAUGUGAGAAGUCCUAUUGUUGUGUAUACUUAGACGUCAACCCCAAAGUCGAUAUAAUAAAAGUAUUAUGUUAUGGUCUGUAUUCUAAAGCCCUUCUCGGUAAAUAAGGUAAGUGUUUACAUUUCAGGGUUCAAACUAAGUCUAGGCAAAAAGGUCACCUUUUGGAGCUCUACCUAUCACCCUUUCCUGGGAACAUUCCCUCCAUAUAUUCGUCAAAGUUUUCAUCAUCCUUGCCUUCUCUAUCACCACCUUCUGCCUUGCGCUUUCCCCUUUUUCCUGCGAUAUGAAACACAUUCUAUUUCACUCCUUCCCCAAAUUAUAAUAUUUUCAUAACUGUUUCUACAAAGAAUAGACCCAAAAUAAUUGAACUCCGCAAAUUACACACCUUUUCUCCUCUCCUCUUCAUCUGCGUCAUCUUCACUGCAUGAUUGAUUCCUGAAUUCCAAAAUUAUUAUAUCUCACUUAAUGUAAUCCAAAAAAAGAAAAAACAUGACUUCUAGUUGUAAAUUAACAUGAAUCUCUUUAUCUAUACCGUUUUCGUUUCUGCCUUUUCUUUUCUUUACUCUCUGACCUUUCGCCCUCUUUUCUUUUUUUGUAGUAAAGCUUGUCCGCACAUCUGGUGCCAAAAGAUGUUUGAUAAUGUGAAAAAUAAGGAAAGCAGAUAGUCAAGCUUAAACAAAAGCACUGAAACAAACCAGGAUACUACUGGUCGUAGGUAUUCAAUUUCCCAAACCACUACUAAUUCUAUUCUGAAGGCAUAAAAGAAAUAGAGAUGACAAGCUGUACGAUGAAUGCCUAUACCUCUUACAAGCUACGAGUUUUACAAGGGCUUGUUUGUCUUCUCCAGCUUCAUGAUAAGAAAAGUUCACCUACAAAAACAGCGAUGCUCAGUGAAUUAAUCCGACCCAAACAUUAGAACAAUAAUUGAGAAAACAUCUAAAGAUACAUGCCUCAUAGCUUGCUAAACCGUCCUUUUCAUCACAAUGUUUGCUCCCACACAUAAACUGCCCUGACAGAAAGCAGUUGCAUUCACACUCAAGACUCUUAUCACAGCUACUUCAAAAUAAAUCACAGGCAAAGAGUUUGAAGCAAUAUUAACCUUUCCCAGUCAUUACUUCCUUUUCCGUUCUCCAUCUUAAACCCAUCUACAAACAUUCAAAAUAAGUCAACGGAACAAAAGUAAUACAGGAAUUUACGUGAGAUACAGUAACUAUGCAUCUGAUUUUACCUGACCAGUCUUGUAUCUUGACAUGUCAGCUAUACAGUAUCUUCAAUCAGUCAAGGAGUUAGACAUGGUGUACUCAUCCAAACUCCCGUUAAUUAGUACUUGAACAAAAGUAAGUAUUAGCUAUAUUAUGUUUUAAAGGAUACUCUUUAAAAAGCUUAUCAUAGUAUCGCUUCACCAAUCUUUGCUCCCAAGAAGGAUUAAAAUCAUCUUCCUCAGAACGUAUAAACCUAUAAAAGAAAAAAAUUCCAAAAAUUACAGAGUUCAAAAGAUUAUUAACAAUGAAAAAGUAAAAGAUACAUGCUAACAUAUGGCAUAUACCAAGUAAGAUUCAAAACAGAAACUUGCAGAUUCAUCAAGAAAGCAUCCCAACACAAAAACAUAUACAAAACUUUACCAUACCUGUAUCCUUCUCUUAGUGUGUCCUGAUCCGUUUUAACGGGUAACUUAACUUCAACUGGCUUAUCCUCCCCAUAAAAACGAACUGUAAAGCAACAAAAACAAAAGAUGAAACCACAAAAUCUGGAAAAAAACAAGAAUACCAAAUCCUGAACCUCAUUAUAAAACAGUAGCUUAACAACUAGGCAAAAGAAAUCAACUUUCCCAAUGGAGAACCACAAAACAAAAGAAAACACAUGUAAGGCUAACUGUAGCCUCCUUCCUAGCUCAGAGGAGAAGACUGUUCAUCAACCAGCUUUGAUGUUGGACACAUGGAUUUGGGGUAAACAGAAAGCCACUUAUUUACCCUAAAUUCCAAAACUUUUUGUCCAUUUAAACCUAACUAUCGAGCUACAAAUGGAACAUUGAAAGAAGUGUUAGUACCGUAGUCUUUCAUAAACUUCUUAUGCCGCUCGUAAGCAUUCAAACCACGAAUAUGCGCUUGGUAUUGCCUACAGAGACAAGAAUGAGCAGUCAAACUAAGAAAAACACAUAAAACGAAUCAAAUCGAAAGAAGGAAGACUAACUGCUUGCGUUCUUCUCUGUCGUAGAUGUCAGAUCUGAUCCUCGCCGAAGAAGCCAUGUUUCGCCGCCGGUGUCCGAUGGAACUGUCGUAGACCUUUCUUUUAGCUUAAUCUCCGUCUAUUUUUCUCCGAUUGUACCAAUUGUUUCUUAAUGGGCUGGGCCUAAUAGACAAACAUAUGGGCCAUUUAAAUGUAUGCCAGGCCACUGCUUGGUUUAUUCUUCAACCAUCAUCACUUAACCUGUUUUGUAUUAUCCAUUGUAUGUUUUUUGCCUAAUGCACACUACACUGUGGUAAAUAGAUGUAGAAUCUAAAUCAGUGUUGGGGCAUUAAGAGGGUGCUUUUAUAACAUAAGAACUGACAAUAACACCCAAUAUUUGUCAAACAUUUUAAUAUCUGGACAGAACCUGACAAUAUCACCUAAGAGAGGACAAAGGCAUGAGGGAGUAUGAAGAAGAAUACUGAAACGUCUUGUACAAGAAUAAAUCUAAAGAGUAAAACCUCUAAUAAUACAGAUCAAACCCUACGACUACAAACAGCUUCCUGUGAGUUAGAAAGAGCCAACCAAGAGGCUUAAACCAACCAUGGUAUAUCUUAGGGACGUCACGUGAAUACUUUCUCCGAUGUGUUUGUAUAAUACACUUCAUCUCUCACUUCCUUUUCUCCUUUGAAUAUCUCAGUAUCAUCGAAACCUGUACACAUUUUUCAACUUUUUCAAAAACUCAAAAAUCUUCGAAACGGAACAGAAAGUGUGAGGAUGCUGAAUCUUUUUUACCUGGUCCCAAGUCUUCGGUAUCAUCGAUGAUCGGUACUACUUGAUUCCUAUGAAUAGACUCGAGCAACUUCCAGUCCGCACUUCCAUUUCCUUCAACACAAGCUAGGUCUCCGGAAACCCAGUCUCUAAAAACAUCCAUCCUGUUGUGUGAUAACGGGUCUAGUGUGUCAUCCCCGGUUACAGGACCCCUAGAGGAGACAGAGAACGGUUAGAUCUAUCCUUUUGUACUCUCUGGAAACUAAGGAUUUGACUGAGAAGGGCAAGAUUUACGACUUACAGUUGUCUGAGGCGCAUGUUGUACUGAACAAAUACAAGAUCGCUGAGCCGUUUCUGCUCAAUGGAGUUCUUCGAUUGGUAUAUUUGUUCGAAAGGUAUCUGGUUUCUCCUGCAGCUAACUGAUGAACUGCACGUUUGACUAAGAACACGUACCGCAAAACGUGAGAGGUUCAAGCAGCUUUCUCCAUAUGUAGACCACCACUCAGCUAAGAACCAAGCAUGUAAAGAGAUUCCAAAUAAGAGAAGCACAAAAAUGCAAUUUACCCAAGAAAAGUCAAAGGAAAAUUAACCAUACCAGGAAGCGUUGUGUCCCGAGCUCUGAUUGCCAAGUUUCUUCCAAAAACUCCAUUGCCAGCUUUGUAAGAGGAUAACUCCUUGAUGAUUUUAUCUUGAAUCUUGUCGUCAGGAACCAAUCUCUCGACGCAAUCGAGCACCGAUAGAAUAAUUUCACUACGCAUUUCUUCGUUGGAGUUAUAAUAGAAUUUUGGGUUAAGAAAGAAACCAGCAGCAAGCAAAGGAGAAUGCUGUUGCUGCUCCCACCAUCGAUCUAUAAUUUUCCAGUAUAUCAUGUAACUCUCCCUCUCAACCAGAUGUGUUUUGAUUGCAUCUUUUGCUCGGUACAGUGCUGCAUAGACAUACCCCAUUGCAGGCCUCUUUUCAGAACAAACUAUCCUCAAAGCCCGCAAAAGAGGACCGGUUAAAUGGUUUACCAAAUCUACUGCCUUCCAAAAGCCUUCAUCAGUGAUGGCAUUCAUCACCAACCCGCUGGGAUCUUCCGAAUACGAACAUUCAUUCCACUCUGCCGAAGUAACCAUAGCCUGCAGAUUGGAUUUGAGCUCGGCUAUUCUACCCAAUGUAGCAAAGUUUGUGGCAGAAGUGCUAAAUGCUGGUUGCAGGAUAUCAUUACCCGAAGUAAACUUCCACAUCAAGUUCAAAACACCACUACGGUUGUAAAUAAAUCUUGUGAUAUCUCGAGCCUGUUCGAUAGUCUCACUUAUCCAGCCUAGUUUCCCAAAUUCCUCGAGCAUCUGAUCAAUGCAAUGUGCAGCGCAAGGAACCCAAUAUAGAGAAGGAUACACAAGCAUCAACUUUUUCCCAGCAUCAAUGUAGUGAUCUUCGCAUUUUGUAAUCACUUGAACAACAUUGGCAUUGCCAACUUCUUCAACCAGCUCCCUAAGUAGCUCAAACAACUUAUCCGGCGAAGAUAACAUCUCAGACGCGUCCACAGAUUUCAGAAAGACUAUCUUUUCUGGACAGUAAACCAAAAAGUUAAGGACUUUGAGGCCUUUAUCAGUGUUCCAUUCCUCAACCAAAAUGGAACAGCCUGUCCUCUUCCACAUUGCUUUGCAGUCAUCAAUUUCUUUUGUACUUUCCUCUACACAAUUCUUCAGUAUCCAACCUCGAAGGUCAUCAUGAGUCGGGGCAGACACUCCGAAUCCUCCAGAGGCAAUAGCAUCGAUCAUUGGUUGAAAAUUAACAGAGUUUACUGCAUCCAAAUCAGCUCCAAUGCCAAACAAAAACCGUCCAAUCGCCAUAUGGAUUGUAUUCUCCUUAUCUCGAAAGGACGGGUGCACAAUGUUCUUUACACUACUAAUCGCCACUGGAAUCAAAUUGUCCAUGUCUCUACUAAUCAGGUCAUUAUUGUUGCUCCCACUACCAUUCUCAAAAGCAUUCUUUCUACUCCUGUAAGUCCUUUGCUUUGUUCUGCCACCCAUCACACUCUCGGUUUGCACAACCACAUCCGAACUACCCGGCGAUUUAAAAUCGUCAUUCAUAUCAGACUGAACCAUCAGCAUUUCUCCUUCAAUAGGAGGUAAAGCAGCUACAGACAAAGGCUCUGAACUGGAUUUUUGCCUCUUCCUCUGGCGUCUCACGGUUCCAUCGAUACACUGCUGCAAAAAGAGCCUCACAUCUUCAGGAACUUGGUCACAGAUCGUGCCUUGUCCCUUUUUACCAGCAAGAUGUUCCUUCACCCUCGUAAUACCUCCCCCUUUGAACAUUUUCCGACAGUAGAGACACCUCAUCUGAAGUCUAUCACCGUAUUUGUAAAUUUCACAAUGCUUCCAAGCAUUGUCUUGUUUCUGCGGUGUAAGAGCUACAGGUUCCAAUUCUGAAUCCAUCAAGCCUGUAUUCAAUACAGAAGAAGAAGGAAAGGUAGAAACUUUGUAAAUGGAAAUAACAUAUUAAGCCAAGAUCCUAAAAUGAAAGCUUUGAGAAAUUUCACAAACCAAUGAUAUCAAAAUUCAGAUAAUUCACACAAGUCACAUUGAUUUAACCAUUUUCAAAUACGCAAAUUCUAAAACCACAUGCACCAAAACCUCAACCGAAUUACACAAUUCCGACAGGAACAAAACAAAAAAAGAGCAAACCCGUAAAUUUGUUGUACAAGAAGAUGAAGAAAACGAACCUGUUCUGGUUUGUGGCCGGUUACGAUGAAUCGGUUUCGUAGAAAAGUGAUAAAAUUCCGGUACGGUAGCUUCGGUUCCGGAGGGGAGGAAACUGGAACCAGCCGGAGACGGAGGUUUCCGAUGAACGGAGGAGAGAAUCGGAGAAAGAUAAGAGAGAUGCAAUGUUUGGGAGAAAUUGACCCGGCCCGAUUAGGGUUUGCAGAAAUAGGUUUGGCAGCUUUUUUCUGGUUUAUGACCUAUAAAUCUGGCAUAUCUUUAUUAUGACGUCACCUAUUUGUUUUCCGUUUUUAACACUUUUUUGUUAUCCUUUUAAAUUCUAAAAACGACGUCGUUGGCUAAUUAGGGUAUCUUCUGAUUAAACGGCGUCGUGUGUUGUUAUUUUCCGAUUAGCGUCGGUCGUCUUCUUCUCCUCAGUCUUUUGAUCUGGUUUUGCUUCAACGUGAAACAGCAACUGAGUUUUGAAGAUGAUGUUUGUAUGUAAUCUCUUCUUCUGAGAGAAACCUCUUUGUGAUUCAAAUAGCAUCAGAGGUAUGUGUUUAGUUUGUGAUUGAUCAAAGUUGAAGAAGUAUGAUAAGAAUUAAGAAGAACUUGUUGAUCGACUUCUAAAAAACUCGUGAUUUUGAGAUUGUAGCAAAGAGUGAGUGACAUUGUAUAUGUGAAUACUAAUACUGUAGUUGCUGAAAUAAAAUGUGUAGGUAGGUAUAUGUACAUUUGUUUUCGCUGAGGCAUUUCGUCGAACACUUAGACGACGACUUAAAGAUGGAUAAGCUUCUUGAGAAUCAUCAGUUUGCGACGCAUGCCAUUGCUGCCUCGGCUUCUGUAUCGCUAGGAACUGCUCUCGCUUAUCCUCUGGAUACAAUCAAAACCAUAAUCCAGGUUUCUUCCAAUCUUCUUCUUCAACAAAUUUGUAAUUUAUUAUUUCAAUCACUUCAUUUCUGUGGUGUUGAUUUCAACAUUGAACUGUAGGUUGGUUCAGGACCCAGUAAGAAAUUAGGCCCCUUUCAAGUUGUGAAUAGAGUUCUUCGCUUCUCUGGCUAUUCAGGUUUGCAAAUUACUCUUUUUAGGUUUCAAUCAUUUUCUGAUUCUGCAUCAGGCAAAAUGGUGUAUUGUUUGAUCGUUUCUGGUCUUUUUGGACACCAAUGCAGGUCUGUACAGUGGUCUUGGAUCGUUAACUUUAGGAAGAAUUUCAGGUGUUGGUGCAAGGUUUGGUGUCUAUGAGAUUCUAACAGCUUUCUACAAAGGUAUUACGCAGAUCCCAUGUCUCGAUGAUUCGAUAUUAGGUUUUUGUGACUAAUUCUUCUGUCCAAGAGAACAUCAAUUAAUUAGACAAGAAGCAACCAUUAAAAGGAUAUUGCCAUCUGUUCAUAGAUUUUAGAAUUUGUACCAGUAUUAUUAUUAUUAUCCAUUCAUAGCUUUUACAUUCAAAGUUGGUUCCUUUCAUACCUCGGACAAUACCUGAUGUUAGUAUUAAUUUGGUAGCUGAAGUUACGACCUUUUUACUUAAGUGGAACCUUGUUCUUGAAGAAUCUAAAGAGUACUUCCUAUAUGACUUCAUUGGUUACAGAUGGUCGACAUGAUAACUAUGUAAGUGUUGGUGAAGCUUUCCUGGCUGGGAUGGUAGGAGGUGCAGCAGAAACAGUGGUGACUUCUCCAUUUGAGCUAAUCAAAGUCCGAAAGCAAGUGACCGCUGCAUCACGGGCUCCAAAUGCUGCCGCUGUUGCAGAGACCGCACCGGUUUCACCCAUGGUCACAAAAUUGCUAAGAAGAUACACUCUUGAUGUAAAGUCAUUGACACAAACAGUCAGUCUCUUAUCCGUCUUAAAUCAUAAACACCCAAACAUGACAGCUGCUUUGCAAGAGUACCCGUGGAUGAUGACUGGAACAGGAAACCCGCCAUCAGCCAUGGAUGUUAAGAGACCCCUCGAUGUUGCUUCACUUGAAGGAUAUAGAGCUUUAUGGAGGAAUCUACGUUCAGGUCUUGUAAGAGAUUGUCUUUACGGUGGAGUGUUCUUUUCAACAUGGCAAUUUCUUCACGAGGGAAUGCUCAGUUGGAAAGCUGUUGGAAUGAAUCCCCUGCCCAGGUACUUAACUCUCACUCUACAGAGCUCUCAAUUAACUUGAAUUUUAACUUGAACUUUAAUGAUUCUGCAAAACUUGUUGAAUUCAGCUCUGAAGAAGAAAUCGGACCUUUAUCUCCAGUAGCCGUUAGCCUUGCUGCUGGGAUUUCCGGUGCCAUUGCAGCUGCAGCAUCUCAUACCUUUGACACAGCAAGAACACGGGCGCAGUGUGUAAUAUUGCCAAAGGUAAAACAAAAUAUAUCCUCGUUAUCUUACUAAGAGAUAUAUGAAACUCAAAGCUCUGUCCUCAUUUUCUUUUAUGUUUGGUUUCUAUUGAAUUUUGACCAGUAUACAGCAAAAGAGAGGAAGUUUCUGAAAUGGAAUAAACCCGGGAAGAGAUUAGAGAGAUGGACAGGAAUACAUCCUACAGACAGAAACCUCCUGUUCCGAGGAAUUGGGAUAAGGAUAGCACGAAGCUCUGUUGCAUCGACGGCCAUCGUUGGAAGCUAUUACUUAGCUGUCGAUUUAUUGGUUCCCAAGUGAAGUCAGACAUCACAGAGCCUACAAAUCUGGCUCGAGUUUGAUCAAUACCUCAAAAGCGUUUAGCCCGCAUUUUGUAGCACAAUUAAGGAGAAACAUACACGCUUCAAUUAUACCAUCUUAGAUUUGUAUCUGUCUGCAGUGCCGGGCUUAACAGAUUAAACAUUUGCUGAAUCUAUUGACAGAACCUUUUCAAUUGGUCGAUUAUCAAUAGCUCAAAAAAUCUGGACAAACUUUGUAGUUCAUAAUGUGAUCAUUUCCUAACCGAGAUUAUGAACAUGAACUUCAUAGUCUAGCAAUUUUUGGUAAAUACAUUUGCUGAAAUCUUUCUAAUCUACAAUGUAAAGUUCAGCUUAACCAAGGGAGAUACAGACACGAGACAUUGUAUCAUAUUUCUGACAAAGGAACAAUGUAUUGAAUGAUUCAAACCCGUAGUCUCAGUGAAACUGGAACAUUUCUAAGGUUAACAUUUUCAAGCAAUGCAUCAAUUUCAAAUCGAGAACAAGAUCAUUGCAAUGAAUCUCUAGAACCUAAGCAGAUAAUUCAAAUGGAAACAAAUAUGUAAUCAAAACGCAUAAGAGAAACAAAAUCCAUAAUAGAAAAUUCAACAAAACGUCUUACACAAUCCAAAACAGGUUCCACAAUUUUUCACCAAAGUAAAUGAAACCCUAGAAACUAAAAAUUACGCUUUAAAGAUUCAAUAACAAAAAGCUCAAAAACGUCCUUGUCGAAAUACGAAACUUCUCAGAACCUGAGCUUGGUGAAGAACCAUCUGUUCUUGCCGGUCUUGAACCUCUCCUCAAGCUUAGCCUUGGCCUCCUUAAGAGCAGCAACCUUCUUAUCCUUGGACUGAAGGUUAUCAAGAGUGGCCACUUCCUUGAGAUCCACGUCGAGCGUGUAACGCGUAGGCAUCAGAUGCUGGUAGUUAACGACCUUGAUGAAACACUUAACCCUAGAUUUCUUGGCAGUCUUCUUGGCUGAGUCUUUGCGGAUGACUUUGCUCGGGUACUUCUUGAGUCCGGCGACGAGGCAGUGUCCGUAGCCACGGUCACGGGUACCGUCGUCGAAGGAUUUGACGAUGACGGCUUUCUUACCGGCGUAACGGCCUUGAAGAAGGAUCACGGCCUUGUUCUGCUUCAAGAACUUCACCAUUGUUGCUUUCGAUGCUUUAGAUCCCUUCUCCUUUCGUCUCUGGCUGCUAUGAACCCUAAGUGGCGGAAUCAAUGAGAAAUGCGGCUUUAAUAGUGUGUGAUGCCACAAACUCUUUGGUUGAGGAGAGGACUGAGUAAAAACCCUAGUACCUCUUAUUGGGCCGUUUAGUUAGACCCAUUUUUUAUAUUUGGGCUUUAUUUUGUUGAUGAUACCCAGGCUCGGUGAAAUGUGAACUCUGAUGCCAGAAACUCUUUAGACAUGACUAAAUUACCAUUGUUUCAUUAAUCAAUAUUGCUAUUGCAUUUCAAUAUAUGUGGACUAGUAUUAGGUUUUAUGAUCUUAUAGACUUUUCGAUUCAUGUCGUAUAUAUGAAGGAUACUUAGGUCUAUUCGUAUAUAUGAGUAUAAAUUUUAAAAAAGUAUUUUAGUCCAAUAUAGACCUAAAUAUUCUGUUUAGAUCUGAUCGUUUUUGAAGGUUUCUAGCUACACGUUUCAAGACGCUCCAGUCGUCAUCGUCGCAUCUACUCCGAAGUAGUAUAUCAAAAUUUUGAUAAUUAGAUUGGAUAGUACUAAACUUUUUUAAAUGGAUUGAAUGUAGUUUAUUUUUUGAGAAAUUUUAUUUAUCGAAUAUUAGAGACAUUUUCGAUAGAUAGGACAUAAAAUUUAUUUUAUUUUCGUGUUUUUGAUCGAAAUUUAACUUUGAAAUUAUAAACUAUUUUCUAAAAUUACAUAUUAUUUUAACAUAUUUUAUCUCAUUUUUCUAGAUUCUCUUGGGAUCCUAUUAUCAAAGUUACUAACUGUAAUGUUAAUUUUCAAACGUAUCUACUUUUUCUUAUUGGUUUUAUCGUUGUCAACUUUUUUUUGUAUCGCACUAGAUUGGCCUUUCAAUGUAUACAUUAGCGUGUGUUUCUUUCUUUAAUUAUGUUUAAAAUGUGUCAAAGCUUUAUAAUUAAAAAAAAUGGCCAUGCUUGACUUUGUAUCCCCUAUGAUUAUGGAGUGUGAACAUCUCAAUAUUUUUACAAAUACAAUUUUGUAAACUUUGCUUGGCCGGUUACAUCAUGUCAGCGCAAGUAUAUGUGUAGGUGUCAUUUUAUUUUAUAUCAAUAGGUCGUUCUAAUUGUGAAUAAAAUAAUUACAAAUGACCAAAUACAAGAUCAAAUUGAACCGACCGGAUGAAAUCUAUUCACAUGGACCAUAUAACUUGUCUCUCCAUUUAAUUUUUGUUAAUCUCUAUGCAAUUAAUAUUCAUAAGUCAUAACUAACUUAUUUGGUUGAGUUUUAAACAAGUUAAAAAAGCAUAUGAUCUUAUAUAAAGCCAUCAACCAAUUUUUUUAAUUAUAUUAUGAAGGAUCCUUGUUAAUUAUUAUCAUAUAGUAAGUGGAUUUGGUAUCUACAUAAUAUGUGGCUAUAUCAAUCACAUUUUUUCUUUCUUUCAUAGUUAUCCAAAACAGUUACACAAAUAAACAUAUAAGUUAUGAACUUUUUUUGUUAAGUCUAGAAAUGGUUUUAGAUUAACGUAUUGUUUCAAAUAUUUUUCUAUGAUAUUUUGAUGUUUGAUACUUUAAAAUAAAUAUAUUUAUAUAUUAACGUUUCUAAAACGUAUCUAGUUUCAUCAAAAACUCGUUUCUCUUUCGAAACGAAACGUUUCCACAUAUUCGUUUCUGUUUACAUGUAAUGUAUUCGUUUCCGUUUCGGUUUCGGUUUCCAUGCAAUUCUACUAGAAAACAAAUAAAGAUAAAAUAAUGUUAGAAAAAAGCACCAAAAAAGAUUACUUUUUAAUAAUCACUCUCACUAUUCACUAAUCACUAAUUUUAGUAAACAUAAUCCUAUUUAAUUAAUAGAAAAAAGUAAGAAAGAAAAUCAGAAAGUAGAAUAUUUACUUUAUAUUUUUGUCAACAGAAGAGAAUUUUUCCUUGACGACAAAUGAAAAUCUUUUUAAUUUUUUCGAAUAUUAAUUUGAUUAAGAGAUAAAUAAAAGUGGAAAGAAAUGCUUAUUCAGACAGAGAUAGCCAAAAUAAUAAAAAUAAAAAGGAAGUGAGGAUUUGUUCGGGCAAAGGUCAUGUGUCAAUGUUACGCACAGCGCAGGGUAAAGAACAGAGAUAAUAAUAAAAAGGCUCUCUCUUUCUCUUUCUCUCUCUCUUCUUCUCUAAUCUUAAAUCAGAAAAAUCUCUUCUUUAGGAAGUAGAGAACUAGAGAAGGAGAGGUUUCCUCCUUCCAUGUACUCUUCAAUUCCCCGGAGAAUCGGGAGCUAAUCUUCUUCUACUUUCCUUAUCUCUACUUCUUGACAAGUCUUAGCAAACACCCUUUUGGAGAUUCGUUUUGUAUUCUCUGUUUCUUUGUGUGUGUGUCUCUGUGUUUUUAGCUGUCUUCGUAUUGAUCAUGGAGAGAUCUGAUUCUAAAGAUUUCUAUAACUUUGCUCGGACUUCUUCAGGUUUACUUCUCUUUCUUUCUUGGAAGCUCUUUGUCACAAAUCGAGUAUUAAAGUGUUUUGUUUGUUUAAGUUUCUUUCUUUGAUCCAAGAUGUGAAUGAUUUGAUUUGCUUCUGAUUGGAGAAAACUCUACAGAAAUAUUUUUUUUUUAAUAUAUGUUUUUGAUGUAACAGAGGAGAUGAUUUAUAUGUUUUGUCUGAUUUUGAUUUUUUUCUUUCUUGUUACGGUAUACGAUUCGAUUUGUUAGCUGAUCUGGAAAAUAGUAAGAUUUAUAAGCUUUGCUUUAGUGUCGUUCCAAAGCAUUGAGAUUUGUUUACUGAGAUUUAGUUCUACUUUUAGUGGUUUGGUCAACUAAUUGUCUUGGUGACAUAACUUAACUCAUUUGUCUGAUGAAAACGGUUUCUUAUUUUUCUUGUGCAGAUAAUAAGAAUGCUCUUUUUGACGCAUCUCAAUAUGAGUUCUUUGGUCAAAGUCUUGAAGAAGUUGAAUUGGGUGGUCUUGAUGAUGAUGCUUCUGUUCGUGGACAUGUCGAUGAUGAAGCCUAUCACUUGUUUGAUAAAAGAGAGGUAAUUGAUUUUGUUAAUUGAACUGACUGUGUCUUCUUCUAUAUUUAUUAUAUAGAUGAGAUCAAUGGAUGAUAAAACAAACAUCUCUACUUGUGGUUUCAGGGUGCUGGUUUAGGUUCAUUAUCUGACAUGGAUGAUCUUGCCACAACUUUUGCAAAGGUUAGCAUUUUGUUAACAUUUCCAUAGUCUCUCUUUGUGAUUAAUGAUCUGUCUUUCUCAGCUUCUUAUUCUUUUACUUGUUUUCUACUUUACUUAUCUUAUUGUUUUGGUCUUAUCUUGUGCAGCUGAACAGAAAUGUUACUGGGCCCAAACACCUUGGAGUAAUUGGUGACAGAGGAUCAGGGUCCUUUUCUAGGGAAAGUGAGUUUUUUGUUUACUGUUUGCUUUCAAGAGUUUUCUGUAGCUUGGCUUUGUUUUCUUGUUCUUCUAUGUGACUUUUUUCUUCUUCUUGAACUAUGCAACUGAGGGUAAAAACUGUGAGCUUUGUACUUUUCGAUAUAUACAUAUGGGUUGGUUUCAGAAUAUGAUGGUUUUGUUUCAUCUCCUCCUGGAGGUGAUGGCUUUGUUUUGAGAGAUGAUUUUCUUCUAACAGUGCUUUUUGUCUCCAGGCUCCACUGCUACAGAUUGGACACAGGAUAAUGAGUUCACAAGCUGGUUGGACCAGCACACACUUGAAGAACAAGCUCAGGAAGCUAGUUGGCCAUCACAGCCACAAUCUUCGGCUAAUUCAAAUUCUCUGUACAGGACAUCUUCAUACCCUCAGAAGCAAACUCAGCUACAACAUUACAGUAGCGAACCGAUUAUUGUACCAGAAUCGACGUUUACAUCUUUUCCUUCGCCUGGCAAAAGAUCUCAACAGUCUUCACCGAGCCAUAUUCAUCGUGCUCCUUCUCUUCCUGGUGGUAGUCAGUCGAACUUUUCUGCUCCUAAUGCAUCUCCGCUGUCAAAUUCGACUUACCAUCUUUCAGGAUUGUCACAUGGACCGCAACAUUAUGGUAGUAAUCUGGCUAGAUAUGCAUCAUGUGGUCCUACUCUUGGUAACAUGUCACAACCUCCUCACUGGGUUACUGACCCUGGCCUUAUGCACGGUGAUCAUUCGGGGUUGUUACACAGUCUGGUACAACAGCAGCAUUUGCAACAAUUGCCUCCUCGGAAUGGUUUUACUUCUCAACAAUUGAUUUCCUUUCAACAGAGACAGUCCCUAGCUCAUCUUGCUGCAUUACAAUCUCAACUGUAUAGUUCCUAUCCUUCUCCAUCACAUAAAGCUCCUUUUGCGGUUGGUGAAGUAAGGGAACACAAACAUAAGUCAUCUCAUAGAAGUCGAAAGAACAGAGGCAUCUCCCAACAGAACUCGGAUUUGGCUAGCCAGAAAAGUGAAAGCGCAUUGCAAUUUCGAUCAAAGUACAUGACUUCAGAAGAGAUAGAGACUAUUCUCAAGAUGCAGCAUUCCAAUUCACACAGUAGUGACCCCUAUGUGAAUGAUUAUUACCACCAAGCUCGGCUUGCCAAAAAGUCAGGCGGAUCAAGAACAAAGCCUCAGUUGUAUCCUUCUCAUUUGAAGGAUCACCAAUCCCGGUCCCGUAGUAGUUCAGAUCAGCAACCACAAGUUCAUGUGGAUGCUCUUGGAAAGAUUACACUUCCUUAUAUUUGCAGGCCACGAGCCUUACUCGAGGUUGACUCUCCGCCUAGCUCUAGUGAUGGAAGGUCUGGUCAUAAGGGAUCUGAAAAGCAUCUGGAAGAAGAACCUCUUGUUGCAGCUAGGGUCACCAUUGAAGAUGCUUUUGGAGUUCUUAUCGAUAUAGUUGACAUUGAUAGGACUCUCCAAUUCAACCGGCCACAAGAUGGAGGAGCUCAGCUCAAGAGAAAACGGCAGAUACUGCUUGAAGGAUUAGCAACUUCUCUUCAACUUGUUGAUCCCUUCAACAAAACCGGCCAGAAAACAGGAUUGACAGCUAAGGAUGAUAUUGUCUUUCUACGCAUAGCGACACUUCCCAAGGGUCGGAAACUGCUCACAAAGUAUCUACAGCUUCUUGUACCGGGUACUGAGAUAGCUCGGGUUGUCUGUAUGGCUGUAUUCCGCCACCUUAGGUUUCUCUUCGGUGGUCUACCCUCAGAUAGCGUUGCAGCAGAGACAAUAGCUAAUCUUGCUAAAGCAGUUACGGUUUGUGUUCAAGCAAUGGACCUCCGAGCACUAAGUGCUUGUCUUGCAGCUGUUGUUUGUUCAUCAGAACAGCCACCUCUCCGUCCAAUAGGAAGUCCUUCUGGUGAUGGAGCAUCAGUUGUGUUGGUCUCUCUUCUUGAGAGAGCUGCUGAAGUAGUUGUAGUGGGGGUAGUUCCACGUGUCAGCAACAACUCUAAUGAUGGACUCUGGAGAGCCUCGUUUGAUGAAUUCUUCUCUUUACUUACUAAAUAUUGCAGAAGCAAGUAUGAGACAAUCCAUGGUCAGAACCUGGAGAAUACAGCUGAUGUGUUGGAGCUAGCUAUAAAGAGGGAAAUGCCUGCUGAGCUUUUACGUGCGAGUCUACGUCAUACCAAUGAAGACCAGAGGAAUUUCUUACUAAACUUUGGUCGUAGAGCAUCACCACCAGUUAGCGAGGCAACAACAACAACACGUGCAAGUGGUGGUCAGAUCAAGUCUGAAUUUGUGAGGGGUUAAGGUUUAACCAUAAUAGGAAACAAUGAUGAUGGGUGGUGUGAGUGGCUGGUGUAGAUUUGGUGCGUUUUAGUUGUCUGUGGACUUCUUCUUAAGCUCCUCCUUGUGGUGGUUGAAAGCUGGGGAAAAGGAUAAUUGAAAAGUGGGAGUUGGUAAAACCGGAAAAAAAACAAAAAUAACUGAGUUUUUUUCCGGAGGAGCUGUGUUUUUGUUGCUCUGUGAUGAAAACUCCUACCUCUAUUAGGACUCAUUUAGGGUUUUAGGAGUUUGGAAGGAGACUAGUGUUUGUGUUGUGACCCCUGUAUAGACUGAUGGUGAAUGAUGAUGAUGAUGCUGAUGGUGUUAUGGUGAUGGUGAUGGGGAAAUGGUGAAUGGUGCCGUAGCUAAGAGGUCUUUUGUUUGUCUUAGCUUCUUGUUGUGGAUCUGUUUUUCAAAUAUGGGCAUUGUAAUAAUAAGGAACGCAAAGUUUUUAAAAACGUUGUUUCUAUUGGAUCAUGUCUCUUUGAAUGUAUACUUCUGUUAUUUUGUAAGAAGUUGAAAACUUGAAAUUUAGUUAUGUGUUCUUUUUUAGUACUAGAGAGCAUUAGCUUUUCCUAUGAGUCGCUCUCAAACUCAAUAAUGAAUCCGGUUGGGAUUUUGUUAAGUUAUUAUAAGUAAGAAAGCUUCUAAACUCAACGAAGAACUGGAAUGAAUGGUAGUUAUGGGUAGCCCUGGGCACGAAGCGAAUAUUCGGAAAAUUUGUGAUAUUUGUGAUUUGCUUCGCUUCGACCGAAUAGUUGAUUUUGCUAUUUGCUUCGCUUCGUAAAUUUUCGAGUAUUCGGAACUUCGAAUAUUCGAAUAUUUUUCGUAAUAUUUGCGAAUUACUUGCUUCGUUUCGCUUCGACCCAUUUUUUUUUUUUAAACUAAAAACAUAUAGUACACAAAUAUAAAGUGCAAAAUAUGAGAUAUUAGAGGUUCUUGUUUGACAUGUUUUUAAAAUAAGAAGAAAAUGUAACCACCGUCCAUAGAAUUCUCACAUUUUAUUUUUAAUAUUGAUUUUUCUAAUAAAGUUUUAUUUGCUUAAGAACAACAUUUAGCAAAAAAACCAACGGACCAAAAUAUAAUAAUUUGAAUAAUAAGCCUAUAAGAUAUAUACUCAAAUCUAUAAAUACACAUAUUAUAUAUAUAUUAUAAAAUGAUUUAUAUUAAUACAUAUAUAUAAAUAUACGAAGCGAAGCGGAUAUUCGGCACUAAGAAAAUCAAUAUUUGUUAUUUGCUUCGGUUUUUACAAAUACUACAUUUUCAUAUUUGGUUCGGUUCAAUAUCUUAUAGAUAUUUGAAUUUUUCGAAUCGAAUCGAAACGAAUUUCGAAACGAAUCGAAUCUAACGAAUAUUUUGCUCAGGGCUAGUUAUGGGGACAGUGGAGCCAAUGUUAAUCAUUUUGGGACAUGGUGGUGGUAGGAAUUAAGACACGUGAAGCAUGUCUUUUUCAAGUUUGGAAACUGCUCACAUGCCACGUGCACUUUAGCUGUCUCCUUUUUUUUUUUUUUUUGCUUUUAUCUUCUUUUAAUACAAGAAAAAGACAUGACCCAAACCCGAGAGGUAUGAUGAUGAGGUCUUCAUGUUUUGUCUGAUUUUUACUUUUGUUUCCUGACCCAUUUUGUUUUUUACUUGAUGUCUGUUCGUUUAUUUCUUACAUGUACUUGUGCCGUAACGAAUGGGUGGGUUUACAUUGUACUACUACUUUUACUAUUUGACGGCGACGACUACUUUUUACUAUUUGUCUAUUUCUUGUCUAUUGUUACCAUUGACACGUGAAGCAUGUUCUCGAGUCCUCAUUGGUCGAAACUCGAAAAGAAUAGACUAAAUAAUGUUGGGAGGUCUUUCCAAACCCGAUCCCGAAAAUCCGAUCCGAACCGAUCCGGAAAACCAGAUCCAAAACCAAACCCAAAACCUAAAAAUACACGAACAUGUUCUAUACCCCUAAAUCCGAAAAUCCGAAUCCGAAUCCAAACCAAACCGGAACCCGAAUAGAUUAUCUAAAUAUACCCAUAAUAUAAAUAUAUAAUAAUAAUUUAUUAAUAUUAUAUAUAUUUGUAAUAAUCUAGUGUCAAAAUUAUCUAGUUUUAGUAUAUUUUGAUUGUUUUAAAAUUAUAAACUCUUUUUUAAAUAAAUUUAAGUAAAAAUUUAUAUAGGUUUUGAAAUAUUUUAGUAGUUUGGAUACUCAAAUUUUGAAUUUUGAGAAUUUCAGGUAAUCCAAAAACGAACCCAAAAUACUCGAUCCGAACCCGAACCCGAAAUACCCGAUCCGAACCGAAAAUCUAUAAAUACCCGAACGGGUUCUAUAUAUCUAAACACGAAAACUCGAAAAUCCGAAAUACCCGACCCGAACCCGAACGGUUACCCGAACGCCCAUGCCUAGUUGGUAUCUCCUAAGAGCACCUCCAAUGGUAAGCCCAUUGGAGGUUGCUUACAAUUUUUUUACAUUAAAUUUUCAAAAAAGAAUUAAUAAGCAACUGCAUAUUAAUGUUGAAAAUUUUGGUUGUCCAAUGGUAUAACUCUUAAUGAAGUGCUUAAAAACAAAAAUUAAUUUGAUUUGAAUAUUAUUAUAUUUUAAGUAGAUAUAAAUAAAGAUAAAUACAAACAUUAAUUAUAUUUUAUGAAAGAAAACAAGUUAUUGCAUAUCUCUAUCUCUAUAUUAGUAAAAGAGAAGUACAAAAUAGAAACGGGUCGGCUCAAAAUUAUAAAAUUAAUCCGAUUUUAACAAUUGGAUAUUAAAAUGGGUUUGGAUACAUACAUCAGAUACUUUCCAUAUCUAAUUUUAAGAUUAUAUUAUUUCUAUAACUAAUUUUAUGAUUUCCUAAUAUUUCUCUAACUAAUUUAAUAUAAUAUAUUUUAAAAAAUUAUCAUUCUUCGUUAACAUUUAUUUGAUAUUAUUUUUAAUUUAUGAUAUUAUACUAUGUUGCAAUUUGAAAUUUUCAAAACGGAAAUAUAAUACUCAACUACACUCGAUUAAAUAUUUUGGACAAUGAUUUAAAAUCAGUAUGACCAAAUUAACUAAUGCAAUCAGAAAAUUAUGAGGAAAUAAACUUUUUUUUUUAUUUCCCACUCAUCCACUCAUAUUGUGACACAUCACCGGCCCUUAACUAAUGCUUAAAGACUUAAUAUAAGCAUCAAAGCUUAUGUUUUGUGGUUAGUUUGGUAUUAAAUAUAAUGCAUUUAAUAUAAGCAUUCUAUUAAGCAUGGCAUUCCAUUGGAGGUGCUCUAAGUGCUUUUGUAAAAAAUUUGUGGUGAUCAAGUUUAUGAAAAACCAAGUAUUGUUCUUUGUACUAGCUUUAUUAAUUUUAAAAAAAAUAUAUUAAUUUUCUUUAUACAUAUAAAUUUGGACAUAUAGCUAUUUGGUAUUAAAAAUCCAUAGGAAAAAAAAAAUUAUUAUUUAUCUGAUAGUCAAUAAUUCGAAAUUAGUCCACUAUAUUUGCAGAUCCACUAUCUAAGGAUCCAAUGGCAGCCACGAUACUAGUUGGUAUUACUUUAGGCAACAAAAUUUGGAAAAUAAAGAAAUUAUAUAUAUAUAUUGUAUUAAUGUGUCAUAUACUGAUGUACAAGAUUAAACAAAGACUUUUACUCCUACCAAAAAAAAAUAUAUAUGUAAAAGUUUUUUUAAAACUAAUAGUAACUACAGAUCAGAUUGAAGAAAAGAAAAUGUCUAAUAAGAGGUUUAGUAGUAUUUUUUGUUUUAAUAAAAUUAUCUAAAACUACAGUUCGUAAUUGAUGACUACGGUAACUCGUGAUGAAUGGAUGUUUAUCAUAUUUCUUUCGUUCUUAAUUUAAUGGAUGAAUUCUUAAUUUUUUUUCCUUUCUAACAUAGAAGACUUUUUUUUUACAUAUAAAUUUUCAAAAUUAAAGUAUUUUAUUUGUUUUAACAAUCUUUUUUCUUAGUCGCAUCUAAAAUAUUUCUUUAAUUUAUCUUUUUAACUAGUACACAAUUAUAGUCUUUUCAAAAAAUUUGGAAAGACUACAAUGUAAAACUUUGGUACAUUUAAAACACUUAUUUGAUCAGACAAACUUUCGAAUAUAAAGGGAAUUAAAUAUACCGUAUGCACAAACUCGAAUAAAGGGCAAGAGCAAUGUAUUUACGAUGUAGUAGUAGUCGGUACGUAGAUGUCUGUAGUUCUAAUAUUGUUUUCAUAUAUACAUUGUUUAAGGAAGAUCUACCCAUUGUUUAAGGAAGACUUGGACGAAAAACGAAAUAUGAGUACAACUACUUGUGUAUUAUUUUUGUUUUAGUUCGCUGUACGCAAUCAUGCAUGUGUCGACCCAAUUUAAACCACUACCAUUGGUGGUGGUGGUGUUUAAAAUAUAUAGUACGAGGAAAAAAAGAAAGAAAAUAAAAAUGAAUUUAUGAUUUCCAAGGUCUAUAUAAAGAGGCAACCCUAGCAAAGCCAAAAAUAUACAAACUCAAACUCGUUCUUUCUUUUCUUUACUCGAUAAAAAAAAAAAAAAAAAAAAAAAUGCUUUCUGCUGAAUCUGAAACAGUGAUGAGCAGACAAAACCGUUUGGUGCCGUUGCAUGAACAUCCUUUAUCAAUAUUUACGAAAGAAUCUAUAUAUUCUUGCGAUUUAUGUCAAGGUCGAAAUAGCAUCUGUGCCUAUCAAUGCACAGAGUGCGGCUAUCUUCUGCACGAAGAAUGUAUCCGGGGCUUUCUCAACAACCCAUCUCCGUGCGGUCACUCUCUCAAGGUCUCCAUGCCCAACAAAUCACCUCAAUAUGCAAAUGACCGAUGCCAUUUUAGUAAAAGCCAUCUUCAUUCUCCGUUUGCUCGUUGCACGAUUUGCAACAUAAACAUUAGUAUGCUUCGUAUGGGAAAUCAACCACCACCCACUAUUUAUCAACCGAAGCACCACGAGCAUACCCUCACUCUUCUUUUAAGGUUAGUCACUUUUACAUGUAAUGCAUGUGGUGUGGAAGGUGACCGCAAUCCUUAUGUAUGUCUUCAAUGUAAUGUGAUGGUACACAAAGAUUGUAUUGAGGAUCUACCGAGAGUCAUAUGCAUCAAUAGGCAUGACCAUCGCAUCUCUCAUACUUUCCAUCUUGGCCAAGGAGAAGGAGAAUGGGAAUGUGGAGUUUGUCGGAAGAGGAUUGAUUGGGUAUACGGAGCUUUUAAAUGCUCUCGUUGUCCUAGCUACGCCGUUCAUUCAAGAUGUGCGACUAGAAAGGAAGUGUGGGAUUUUAUCGAACUUGAAGGUGUGCCCGAGGAAGAAGAAGAAGUCGAAGAACCAUACAGGGUAAUCAACGAGAAAGAGAUCGUUCAUUUUAGUCAUGAAGAACAUGUUCUCAGAUUGGAUGAGAAUAAUGUUAACUUGCGCUGCCAAGGUUGCGUUCUUCCCAUCAACGGAGAUCCAUGCUACAAAUGCGUGGAAUGUGAUUUCGGCCUUCACAAAGCGUGUGCUAGUCUUCCUCGGAAGAAGCGACGUUUAUUGCACAACCACAAACUUGUUUUACAAGUUGAUGACUCUUCAGGGUUUUGGUGUAAAGCUUGUAGAACAAUUUCUAAUGGUUUUAGGUACAAGUGUGUUGACGACUGUGACGAUGAUGUUGUGUAUGAUGUUCGUUGUAGUUCGGCAUCGGAACCAUUUCAGCAUGAUCUGCAUCCACAUCCCUUAUACUGGACACUGGAACGUUCCAAACGAUGUCAAGCUUGUAACGUGGAAACCAAAGAUAAUAUCUUAAGCUGCACGGUAUGUGAUGAUUACGCAUUAUGCAUGGGGUGCGCUACUCUACCAAGAAAAGUAAAACACAGGUGUGAUGAUCAUUUCCUGUCGUUAUGUCAAGGUGUCGGAAACGCAAGCGGUGGUAACUUGUGGUGUGAUAUCUGUGAGACCAAGACAGAUCCAAAUGUGUGUUACUAUACCUGUGAAGCAUGUGGUCUCAGUCUCCAUCUUAAAUGUGUUCUUGGAGAUUUUUAUUAUAUGAAGGUGGGAGGCACAGAACCCAAUCCUGUAAUAUUUGCCAACAAUGGAGUUACUCGACCAUUUUGCAUCGCUUGUGAGGCUCGUUGCAAGUUUCCCGUCAUCCUGUGGGCAGCUAUAAGUGACCUUUCUGCUGGCUACAUUUGUUCGAGUGACUGUGCAUAUAGGCUAGAGGAUAAAUAUUAGGUUAGCGUUUUUAACUUUCUAGAUGCUGCAAGAAACUAUAUAUUUGGUAAUCUCGAAUAAAAUCUAUAUUAUAAUAUAGAAAUAUUUUCCAUUUUAUUAUUGGGAAAAAUGUCAAUUAAACCAUGAACUUGUUGGUCAACGCCAUUUAAACCUUGAACUUUGUCUAAGACCAUUUAAAUCGUGUAGUUUAGUUUGACUAUCAUUUUAAACAUCACAUUUUAUUUCAGUGGGCUGGAAGGCUUUAAGAAGAUUUAGCAGCAGUAAUUUGUCUGUUUCAAACUCCGGGUGGGUCAACAUCUGUAGACCACAAAAGUUUGGGAAUGAAAUUAGCAUAUUUGUAUUAAAAAGGAACUAAAUCCAACCAAUGUACAACUAGUAACGUUAGGAAGUAGGAAAUGUGGUAACCACAUGCAUCACAAAAUUGGCAUCAGGAUAAGGUCAGGAUAAGAUAAUAAAUUACCUUACUGAAACAGUAUAAAACUUCAGAAACCACAAUAUUGGAUGUGUUCGGGUUUCCAGCCAUAGCAAACUCAUCUCUCCAACUAGUUUGAGAAGUUUGAUCACCUAUUAUUAUUUAGGUCAGAUUAGAACACGCUAAAUCGAUAUCUUUAUCUCUCAGCAGGUUGAUCAUCUCCAGUUACCUUAUCUGGAUGACUAACCUGCCAAUAUAAAACCAGACAACUAAGAGUGAGCUGCCAUCCCCUAAAAGAGGGAGUGAGGUGUGAUCACCUAAGAAACUAAAUAGAAAGAGAGAUAUUUCAUACUACCUGCUUCCUUACUAUCAUCAUAAGUUCAUUUGAAACUGAAGAUCGAAAAGAAUCAGCACUUGCACGAGCUGAUAGUGCAAGGAGGCUGAAAACCUCAUAGACCUGCAAUUAUGUCUACUUUAUAAGUUUUUAUACAAUACAUUGUCAUUCCAAGCAUAUUGUAAAGAUAUAUACCCACCUUAUGCAAAUUUUCAAUACUAAAACCCUCUAAGUAGUCCAAAAUACCUAUACAACACAAAACAACAAAAAUAAUAGAUAACAGAAAUGUAAAAGAUCAGCACUAGUGAGUAUAUACUUAUAAGUUCCAGAGAAACCGUUGUAUGUGGGAAGAAAAGGGAAGGAGUUGCUGUGCAUAUUUUUUCACCAGAGCUGUCAUCAUCUCCAAGACAGAACUGACCUCAAAUUUGUUAUCAGAUCCCACAUGUGUCACUAGGGCACCUAGAAUCUGCAACCAAAUCAAAUUAGAACAAAAAUGAACUAAUUAUGCUAAAAACUCGAGUGGAAAAUUUUACUGACCUACGAAGAUUACUUGGAAAUUGAAUGUACGAUGAGAACCCAGCUAUGAAAAUAGAGCGAAGGGCAGCGAGGUUAUCUCUCUCACCGGAGUUAGCGGAGCAAGACGAAAAGCGACUAGUGAGAUUGCGGCGGAAAGCGUGUAGAUCGGAAGGAAGACACGGCGGACCGUACGGGUUCAUCAGUGUGCAUCCGACUUCCGCUAGAAUCGCAGUCAUCUUCUCCACCGCGUCGGGUUCAACGGAUUCCUUUUGCGACUGGGGGUUUUUGAGAGACGGAGCAGCUGAGGAUGAUGACGGAGGCGGAGGCGGUGGAGGUUUUUUCCGUGAGAGGAACACCAUUUUUUCCGGUGACAACGACGGAGACUACUCUCAAUUUCGCCUAUUGAUUCUCCGAUUAACAAAUUUUCUGAAGAAAUUUAGAAAGACGAGAGAUUUCAAAAAUUGGUAACCCUGAAGAAGCUAGCGCCAAAAAAUUCAGCAAAGAGGCUCCCGUCCCCUUCUCACAUUUACACGACACGCAAUCUGUCAACGCAAAAGCAAGACGGCACGACGUGUAACCAAAAUAAACGUAAAAGCAAAAACUGCACGGUGUGUAACCAAAAUACCCGUAGUAUAUUUAGAACUUUGAAACGAUCUGCCGUUUAAAUUAAUUACACAUAAACUACUCGCAAUGCAUCGAUACCAAAGAAAAGGACUUCUAUGUGUAUACAAGAGUACAAUGGUACACAGAAGACUGGAAGGAACAAGCUACUGCAAUUUGCAAACUUGUUAAGACAAGUCUCGUGAUCACAUUUAAACCCUGCAAGUCUUGGCAAGAGGCUCGCAGUCUUUAUAGACCUCCAAGCCAGACUGAUCAAGUUCGUCUUCCUUAAAACAAGCACAACGUUUGCUCAUUGACCCCGUUAUUGCUAUCUCUAAAGGUCUUUGUACCAAUCUCGGCACCCCAACAUCACACCAAACCUGCAUAAAUAGGUUAUGCUUUAGUAUCCUUAUGCUUUUAAUUCCAUCAUAGAUUCACUUUUACGUUCUUAAUCUAAUUCUCCACUUUAAACCAAACUAAGGGAGAUAACAAGAAUUCAUACCUCUCCACCUUCAUCUUGACUCCAUCGUGAGUCGCAACUCGGUUGCUUGGCUUCCUCCGUCUUUUGUUUCUCCAUAAGUUGUGCACCUCUAGAGGCUUUUGCUUCAGCUCCUUUUAGAUGUUUAGUUGGAUUACCUUGGCUAUCGUAGUACCGCCCAACAAGCUUCCCAACAGGACUGUUGAUCACAAAUUAUAAGCUAAAAGCCAAACCAAUAUGAAUUAUUAUAUAGGGUUUAAGAUGAGCCGAGCAUUAUCCUUCUCAGUUCUUAGUACGCAUCAGCUUUCUAUCGUGUGAAUAAAACCUAUAACUUACAUGUAGGUCCUGGAGUAGAAACCCCGCCAGUCAACAAUGCUCUUCACCUGCGGAUGUCAAACCAUUUCAAACAUUUAACUAAGGAUAAUCUGAUUUAUAAGAUAUCAAACAGUUAACAAACUACAUGUUACUUCAAUAUAUUAGAAAGUGAUAAAUACCAAGAAAUAAGCACAUCUGGGAUAAUGGCAAGAUCAAGACUAUUUUAGACAUUCCAUAAUUUUCGUUGAAAAACUAUGUGGAGCUUAAAAAAGCUUUACCUCACUGCUAGAUAACCCCUGUAACGAAUCUGUAAGUCCAUCUCCUGCACAAGAAAGGAAUCAUAGCACAAAAAUGAGAAAUUUAAACAUUUCAAAGAUUACUGAAAACUCUUCAUCACUCACUGAAGAAUGCAGCAAACCAUUUAUACCUGUAAAGUUCCCAGAAACAAAAGCACGCGAAGCGUCUCUGAGAGCAAGAAUUACAUGAAAAUACACACAACAUCAGCGAGGAACAUACAAGAUUAACACAAAUAUAUACAAGAACAUAUGAGAGAAUCUUUACACGUAACAUUGAUCAAACAGAACAAACCUUCCAGCAAAAUGGUUGUAACCUCCUCCACUACCGUAAUGAGAUUUUCCUUUCGUCACAUCAAACACAGAUCUGUGUAACAUAUGUAAAGAUACUCUUUUAACAAAAAGUUGUUUCUUCACAUAUGUGUUUCGACAGCAGUAGGGAAAAAAGAGCUUACCCAAGAAUCCCUAAGAGUAUAGGUAACGUUUCAUCAGUGCCAUUAUACAAUGCCAACUCUUCAGCAGAGAAUAACCUCUAUUGAUAUUGAGAACAUCAAGAAACAAAAAAAAAAAAAGAAAACACAAACAAACCAUCAAAUUCAAGACAGGACAACAUAAUAACACUGGUUUUCUAGUUUAGACCCAUACAUAACAACCAUACAGACAAGGACCUUGUCUGAUUCUAUCUAAAAUGAGAGUUUUUGAUCCCCAGCUAAUUUCGUCUGUAUUUGGAUAUUUCAGAACGGGGAAGAUAAGCUUUAAAGAAGAGAAGUGAGUACUUGGUUUGGGUGAAGUGGAGACUUAAGGGAAGAUCUGAAGUAGAGAGCGACGAGAACAACAAUCACCGUGACGCCAACAAAGGGAGAUAACAGAAACCUCCUCGCCGGAAUCAUCGAUUGGAUCCGAUUUGGUUUGUAAUCGAAGAUUCCAAAAUCAAGUGAACUUUCUACACCACUUUUAUAAUGUGAGGACCUUUUAUCUAAAUAAAAAAACCUAUCGGACAAAAUUGCAAUAUUUUGAAUAUUUAGGUCGAAAUAUCAAAACUCUUUUGGAGAAUGGACAGAAGAAAUACAUGAUUCGUAAGAGGACUCAUUUACUCACUGAAGGGGAUUCAUACAAAGAGCCACUCUUUUACAUUUAUAACAUUAUGUAUCGAAGUGCAAUUAGCGAACUUACAAAAGGUGAAGAAGAAAUCAUUAACACGCAAUAAGCAAUAAGGUAGUAUGAGAACGCCAUUAAUGUAUAAUGUGAUCUUAUAUGAUAGUUUCAUUCUUUUGGUAAUCCAAAAAUGUUACUCAGUGCUAUACAAGUAUGAGAGGCAAAGCCGGCCAGAAAUAAACGCAAUCCAAGCACUUGUUUGUAGCUAAUUUCGGCCGAUUUAUUACCGUAAGUUUUAAAUUGGUUGUACACCAAUAUAUACUACAACUAAAUCUUACGGUAAUAAAUGUGAAUUUGAAUUUUCCGAAAUGAACAAAAUGUGAAUUUACGAUGUAUAUCGAGAAUUACACUUUUUGAAAAGGAAGUAGUGAAUUACACUUUUUUACCAGUUUUAUUACCGUUUUUCUUUCAUUUCACUAUGUAAGAGAUCUAUCAAUUGUUAUUGUUUCUAGUCCAUAAAAUCUUAGGUUUGGCUCUAAUAAGAAAUAUAGUACAUGAUUUGUGGCAUGAUUUGGGCAAGAAAUUACAUAUUUUUUUAAUCGUCAAUAAUGUAUGGUUAAAACUUUCCUAAGAAAAACAAAGUUGUUUUGUUUGAGCAUAUCUAAGAAAAAUCAAGAAUCACAAUAGUUGUUAUGUUGGUUGGAUCUCGAUCCAUAUACUCAACUUAAAGAAAAGCCCAUCAGACUGUAAACCUCUCAUGAUCCGAGUGGACAAGCAUCUUGCUUCAGCUCGGAUAUAUGGUGUUAUCUAUUAGUUCAAAAGACAACCAUACGUUUCACUUCGGAGAAACAUAUGUUCUUCCAAGGAAUAAUCCAAAUGUCCAUCUCUGAAUUCUCGCCCAUCGAAAUAGGCGUUACGAACACAGAUUCCAAAGCAAAACGUAAAAUCUAUAGUAAAAGCAAAAGUAAUGAAUUCAUCAUUAAUGAGAAAGCGUUACCAUUCACAAUAAAAAAAAUAUUAAAACAACGAAGAAAACUAUGAGAAAAAGAUCGAUUUUUCUUAUGUAAAAGCAAUAUCAUACACAAACAACGUACCUUUUUCUCAUAUUGAUUUGAGUUAAACUUAAUUUUUAAUUCACAUUUUCUUCGUGUAUUUUCAUUCGAUUUUGACUUUUCACAUAAAAAUAUUACCUAUUAUACAGACAUUAUAACUAACGUUAUGAUAUUGCUGUUCUAAAUACACGCAUAAUUAAAAUAACAAAUUCAUAAUCAGCUAUAUUUAUUAAGUUUCUACAAUAAAAAUGUUUAAAUUUUGACAUAUCUUUUUCAUUACUAGCAUUUUCUAGUAAUUUUUUUAUAAAAUGAUAAAAACUUGUUUUUCACUAAAAAAAUUAUAAGUAGAUAAUUAAUGUGUCUAUAUCAAAUUUGGGGUUAAUGUGAUUCCCAUAUAUUGUGAGUUAUUGUAGAUUCAUUGAGAAAAUAUAUCAGAUGUUUCUAGAAUGGUGCAUGUAAAAUCGUUCAUUGUGAAUUCUACUUGUCAAAGUGAGAGUUGUCCAUCCUAAGCAUAGUGCAAGAAAAAUCAUAUAAGGAAGAUCUUUGUAAUGAAAAUAUUAAUUGUUCGUUGUAUAAUUUAUACAAUAAUAAAUUGAAAGAGGUAGAGAAGAUAGAAGUAAAUUAAAUUAUCCUCAAAUAGUAAUAUUCUAACAUAAAUUAUCAUGGAUUUAGUUUAUUUAUGAAGAGAAUAAUUAAAAUACAUUUAUAUUAGUAAAAAACAUUAAUUAAGAAAUUUUAUCCCAAAUUUUAUGGUUAAUUUUUUUUUUAAUUUGCAUAUGAAAGAUUCAUGAUGAAAAAAUAAUUUAAAUGUGAAAAUCUGCCAAGUGAAAGAGUAUAUAUAUAGCCUUAUUGAAAAUAGAUUAAUGUGGAGACAUCAAUAAAAAUAUAGAAAAUUUCCUAUAAAGAAAUAUAUCAAUAUAUAUCAGUGCCAGUGGUGUCGAAUUAUAUAUACAAAAAAGACAAGAAAUAUGGGUUAGUUUAUCUGAGAAAUCUCUUUUGAUGAAAAUUUAAUAAUUAAAUAUUUAGAGGGACUAGAUUUCGCCACGCUGGAACUUCCACUAAUGAUGUCCGUUGGAUCUUUAAGAGCAACGGUGAGGAUUGCUAAAAGGUUUUUAAGAGCAGAAGAUAUGAGCCGUUGAUCUUUUUGGUUAGUGCUUUUUAUACAAAAUAUAUAUUGGAAGAUAAUGGGAAGCAAGUCGAGAGAUAGAGAGAUGGAGAAAAAUAGAGAAGCUCGAAGAGUGCCCAUGGCGGCCGCCGGAAAUGGCUUCUCUAGACGGAGACAUAGAGCCGGAAGUUUCAGAGACUCUCCAGGUUUCUUUUUAUUUUCUCUUCUUCUAUCUUUUUCGAUUUCUUCAGAUCUGAGGAGAAAUUAUUUUUGAUUUCUGAUUUUGUGUUUUUUUUGUCACAGAGGAGGAUGUUCCGGUGGAGUAUACGGAGACGGCGAGGUUAAGAGAUCGAGGAACGAGUUCGAAGAAGGAUCGAGAUCGAGAACGAGAAAGGGAGAGGGAGAGUCAGAGAGAUCGGUUAAAUAGCCGGAGUAAAAGGAGAAGAGGAGAACGAUUGGUGAUGAUGCAAGGUAAUAUAGACGACGGCGGCGGAGAAGACGAAGACGACGAUACCUCCGAGGAGAGUGUAAACGAUGAUGAAGAAUACGACGACGGCGGUGGAGCGACGAAGAUGCUUCCACCAAAUAAUCACCAUCAGAGGAAGAGUUUUCCUCAGAGUAAAGUCUUCAGAUCGUCUCCUUCUCCGACGCCUUCAUCUCCUAUUGUAACUUCAUGGAAAGCCGCCGACGAAAUGAUCGGUGUGUCGGUUCCUAGAAAAGCCCGGUCAGGUAGAGAGGUGGAAAAAUUGCAUUAUCCACUUAAUUUUUUUAUUUUUGUUUUUAUCAUAUCUCUGUUUGUUUGAAGCUCUCUUCUAAUUGUGUGUUUUUUUUUUUUGCAGCUUGUACUAAGAGGUCGCAUGAGUCUUGGACUAGCGGCGGAGGAGUUUUCGCUUCCGGUGAGAAAAUUCACCGGCAAAUAUCAAGUCCGGCUUCUAUGUUAGCUUCUCCGUCUCCACCAGCUCCUCUGUCUCCAUCUUCCUCUAACGUUUUAGUCCGGAAGAAGAUGGUCAGUCUCUCUCAAAUUUCACUCUCUUCCUCUUUGGCUUAUUUGCUCUAAUUUUUUUUUUUUUUUUAAGACUCCUGGACCAAAACCGAAGCCGCUUCCACCAAAAUCUCCGGUGGCGGUGCAAGACGAAAUCGAGAUCGAGAUCGCGGAGGUUUUAUACGGAAUGAUGAGACAACCACAAGGACCAGCUAAACAAGAAACCGCCGGGAAUGAUUCCGGUGAGAACAGUAAACCAACGGGGGAAGUGAAGUCGACGUCAUCUCCGCCGAUCUUCAACUCGCAGGUUGCUACUCCAUUAUCAGCAAAUUCGAAUAUCGGUAAGUCAUCUCAAGUUCUCUCCGAUUCACGACGAUCUCUCAGGUCUGUGACCUUCGUGCUCAUUUUUUUUUUUUUAAUUUGGUUUCAGCUCCUAAGAGGAAGAGGCCGCGACUAGUUAAAUACGACGAGGAUACUAAUUACAAAACCAAAAAGUCUGAAGACGAAGUCCCUUUAAGAUCCACCGGAGAGACGAAAAAAUUACAACCAUCGACGUCGUUAGAUUUGAGCUCCGCGGCGGAGAAGAAAGAAAAUGGUAUCUCAAAAGAAGAAAAAGUAUCACCGGAAAUGGAAUCUUCGUCUGGGAUAAGAUCCGAUGGCGAUGUGACAAUCACGUUAAGAGUUAACCCGUAAGAAUCUUCCCCCCUCCUUUUUUAUCUCUUCAUUUAUCUCUGUAAACCUAAUUCUGAUUCUGAUCUCUUCUUCCUUUUUUUUUUUUUAAAAUUCAUAUAGGAGUUUGCCUACAUCGGAAAUGGAGAAGAUAGAGUUAAAUCUGAUGGUGCGUGUCAAAAUUCGUUUUUUUUAUUGGAAAUAUAAAUUAUUAUUAUUUUUUUAAAAAUAUUAAUUAUUUAUAAUUCUGAUUUUGUCACCUCUGAAGGCGCCACCGCAGAGGAGAGAGUCGUCACCGGCGAGAGAUGGUGAUACUGAAUGUGUGGUGGUGACAGAAGCUAAACCUAAAGUCACAAUUAUGGAAUCGGUGAGUGGGGUCUGUUUUAAAAAAAAUAUAAUUUUGGUAAUGCGACAAUGGAAGAUAUCCAUUAAUGAUUGACCUUUUCUCCCCUUUUUUAUAUAUUGUGUUUGAUAUUUUUUUUUAAAGGAAACAAAGCCUCUCCUAGAUUUUGGCUGCAAGGAAGAUCUGACUUUGAAUUCUCAAGAUAGAAAUCCCAGAUCUCAAGCAGGAGGAGAUGAAUUUCACAAAUCAGAGAGAAACUGUCAACUUAAACUCGAUCUUUCUGACCCAGAGAACAAACACCAUGGUCAGAAGCAGCUAUCUAGUUCCGAUAGAGCAGGUUAAGUUUUUUUUUUUUUUUUUCUUCAACCAAGAGUUGUUGUUACUGUGCUAUUACUUUCAGCAUUUUAUUAAAUUGGAUCUCUUCUUUCUACAGCUCAAGCUAAUAAUUUGUCUCUGCAAAUGUCAAUACCAAGCUGGCCUGGAGGGAUUCCUACAAUGGGGUAUGCUUGGCUAAUUUUAGCAAUAAAUUAGUAACCUUUUUCUUUUUGCUACUUUGUAUUGUUCCCUUGAUUUAAUGAAAUGUUUUUUUUUUUUUUUAUAACUAUGAUCAGAUACUUGGGGGGACCUACUCAUGGUGUUAUGCCGACAGAUGCCAACUCUUUAUUACCAUCCUCGACAAUGCAGGUGAUUGUGAUUUCUUUCAUUGCUAUGUUCACUUGAAGUUUUUACCUUUGUUCUAUUUCUGACUCUGUUUUUGUGCAGCCUCCGCAUAUGUUAUUUAACCAACCGAGGCCAAAGAGAUGUGCAACUCACUGUUAUAUCGCUCGGAAUAUCCAUUAUCACCAGCAAUUCACCAAAUUGAAUCCCUUCUGGCCUCCAACAGCAGGAUCACUACCUUUGUACGGGUCAAAGGCCUGCAAUCUUAGUCUCAUGCCUUCUGGAGAGCUACAAGGGAGUGUUCUGAGCAGAAGUUCAAACACUGUACCCGAGAAGAGCUCUCUUUCUGCACCUAACAGCUCAGAUACAGCUCAAAGGAAGCAAAUAUUGCUCCAGCAAGCUCUGCCUGCAGGAGCCAGUAACAACAUCAUGGUAUAUUUAUUGUGUUUUAUUUUUCAUUCCAGGUAUCUUUCUCAUGGUGUAUUGAUUGGUUUUGUUUCAUUUACAGCACGGCCCGACAUUUAUAUUCCCACUGAGCCAGCAGCCUCAUGCAGCAGCUGCAAUAGCUGCCGCUUCUGGAAGGCCUCCUAACGCCGGCAACGCAGUUGUUUCAUCUGGUGCAGUGGCUGCUUCCGCGUCCAUGAAUGGUUCUCCAUCAACAGCUCCAGUUGGUGCUACAGCAAUGAGCUUCAGCUACCCAAAUAUACCGACCAAUGAAACUCAGUAUCUGGCUAUCUUGCAGAAUAAUGGGUAUCCAUUUCCAGUCCCAGCGCAUGUUGGCACACCUGCUUAUAGAGGAGUUACCGGGCAGCCUAUGCCAUUCUUUAAUGGUUCGUUCUAUUCUUCUCAAGUGGUCCACACUCCACUUCAUCAGCCACAACAGCAAUCUGGUCAAGGGCAACAGACCCAUGCUCCCAACAACCAGAACACAAAUGUUUCCCCUGGUUCCUCGGCUGCACAAAAGCUUCUCCAGAACCAACAACGAAGGCCACCAGUAAAUUCACAAGGAUUUCCUACCCAGAAAGUUCACAGGCAGCAUCCCAGAGAUAACACAACUCAACAUAGUGAACCUGCAGGAGAAGCGAACCCAUCCACUACUGAUAGUCGAGCCUCGCGUUCCAGUGUUGCAUAUGCCCAAAACUUUGCUUUGCCGGUGCAGCCAACUAACAUGGGUUUGAUGGGUACUGCAGCCUCAGGUGUCGGAGUUCUCGGUUCCUCUAACAAUCAUAGUGAAAGGAAACCAGAACAGCAGGUAUCAAAGGUGGGUGUGGAAUCUAUUCAGCCUCAGCCUUACGCAAUGACCUUUGCAGCGUUCAACGGAGGUAUGCCAACUAUGGCUCAAAAUCAUGCUAUACUCCAUGGCGUUCCAGAAACAGCAAGGCAAGAGUAUCAUCAAAUGAUGGCAGCUGCUGCUAAACAUAAAAUGAAUACGGAAGAUGGAAAAUCUGGGUCUAAUGCUUCUGCUAAUGCCACAGAGGAAUGGAAGACAACAGGGGCAAAUGGUAAAUCAACAACUGCAGGUGUUGGGAAGUCUAUUGCUUUCUCUGGCAAACAAGAUCCGGCUGAUGCAUCUGCUUCUGCGGUAACAGGUGCGGGUAUUAUUGAUAGCUCAGCUCGGUUGCUCAACCUUGGCUCUGCUCAGCCUUGGAGUUCCAAUCCUGCACCGACCUCUCACCAGCAGCAACACAUGCAGAGGAAUCAACCUCAGCAGCAGCAAUAUAGCAAUUAUCUCCAGAUGCAACAACAGUACGCAGUUGCUGCUGCUAGAGGCAAAGGGCCAGUGAUGAGUAACGGGAGUGGUUUCCCCGAUCAUUAUAUUGCCACCGCGCCUUCAAUGGGAUCCAAUAACCCUCAUGCUAGUUCAGGAUUUCCUCAGAAUCUUGUCCAGUCCGGUGGUAGUGGCAGUCCGGCUCAGUCUCCUCAGUGGAAGAACAAUUCACCCAGAGCAAACUCCAUGACCCAAGCUCAGCCUCCUUCCAUGAUGUCACCAUCUGCUUCAUCAUCACUUAAAAACAUACAGCAGAAACAGCAAGGUCGACCUCACCAGUCACAUAUAUCUUUUGCAGCAAACUCUAAAUUUCCGCCUUCUUAUUCACCAACGCAGCAAGGAGUGGGUAGUGCUAACCAGGUUCCAUCACCCACUACGUCUUCUAUCUCCAAAAACGCCGGAGCAAUCCCAAGAACAAUCGCCCCAUCCUCAACAGCGAACAAAACUGGACAUGGUCAAGCUUCCUCCUCUUCUCUGUCUUCAUCUCAGCCAUCAAAGAACUCACAGUCGGCAUUAUCUACAGGUGGAAGGAACAAUGGUCAAUCUAUUCUCGGAAAUCCUCAUGUUACUGCCACCACCUCAAACCCUACAUCUAAGUCUCAACAACAACAACACCUGCAACAAGCUCAGCUUUACUUCUCAAGCCCAUAUAUGCAAGCUCAACAUCAUCAGCAGCAGCAACAACAUUUGAAUCUCUCUAGCUAUUACGUCCAAAGACAUCAGCAGCAGCAGCAACAACAAGCAGGAUCAUCAGCUGCUGCAACAUCUGCUACUCUCUCCAGCUGCACCACUGUCACUUCAGAUUCAGCGAAAGCCAUUAAUACAAAAGGUGGAGGGAACAACAACAACUUGCAGAAUACACAGACUGUAGAGAAGACGCAUCAUCAUCAGCAGCAGCUAGGUCCUCCAGGAUUUCCAUACGUCCACCCUGGUCAAGUGAAACCUGGAGAUCAGAAGCAACAAGCGGGUGAGUGAAAAUGAAAACCCAUUCGAUGGUUGCUUUGGGAGUUCUUCUCACGCUUGUUGAUUCCUCUGAAGCAAUGCUCUGAGGAACGGUAGAAUUUGGACAGUGUGAGAGGUCCUAAGAAACUGGCGGAUCAGAAGAGGAAAGAAACACUCCCACACUCACUAACCAGUGAGAGACCAUUACAGGGAUGGUCUUGGUGGUUUUAAGAACUGUCUCCAACUAAGUUAGUGUUAUAUUCUGACAACAAUCGUCAAACUAGUAGAGGGAAUAGAUCAUUCAAGGUUAAAUUAGCUUUAAGAAUUUUAUUCAUUUCUUAUUGGGAGUAGGGUUGUUUAUGAUUGAAUUAAAAGAAAGGGUAGCCUAAAGGAAAAUGCGGAAGGUGUUGCUCUUUGGUAUGUAGCUUUAGACUUUGAUUCUAUCGAGUAGAAAAAGAAAAAGGAACCAAUUUUGUGUCAAGAAAGAUGAUGGAGAAGUAAAAAUGCAUGUGUGUAUCUGUUGUAUGUACAUGUGGUUUGGCUAGGAAGUAAAUAUAUAUAUAGGGAUGUAUUUAUAUGUUUUUGGCUGAUCGUGAAACUCAAAAAAAAAAAGAAUGCUUAUUUUGUGCUUUUGUCAAUGACACAAGUGGUGUGAUUCUUCUUUUAUACCUUCACGUGUGGUUCACUGUGCAGUACGUACGACUGUACACAAAACUAAAGAUUCCCCAAAAAGAAAUAGAGAAAAAAGGAUCUCUCCUGUUCUUAUUUUUUUGGUCAGUUAGAGAAUAAAAAAAAUAGAUUAAGUAGUAACCAAGAAAACGACUACUUAUCUAAUACAUAUAGAUUUAGUGAAGACAUCAUUAAAGAAGCGUUCAGAAGACCCAAGGCUUGACCAUCUUCUAGCCAUCGAGUGUCCCAAUAGAGGAGCUUUUCUCAUUGUGCCAUCAGUGACCUCGGAUCACAUAUAUACCCCUCUUGGCUUCAUGGUGUUGUUUGUACCAAUGAGAAAGUUUCUUCUUACACGAAAGGUUGUUCUUGUUUGCUUGUUGUCCUCCUCUUACGCGCACAAACUUGCCAAAUUUACCAACAAGCUUUGUUAUGUUUUGGUGGCACAUGCAAAUUCUCAUUUUCUCUUCUUUUUCCUUUUAUAAGGUAUUGAUUUUACAAAAAUAUAUAUAUUGGAAAUAUUAUAUGUUUGGGUUAAACCUUUCUUAUAUUUUGAUAAAUUAAUUGAGUAAAUAAGAACAUCUGGUCUUAUUAUACACAUUUUUGUCGACCAUUUUUGAUUGGUCUAAUUUUGAUACCAUGUUUUCUAAAAGAUCGACCGCUAUGGGACCAAGCAUGUACGGAGUUCCUUUUCUUUACUGUUUUUAUUCGCCAAAAUAAAUUAUGGAUUAGUGAAAAUAUUUUUAUUAUACCUUUUGUUCAAAAAAAUUAAUUAGACGUCUCUAACAAAUUUUUUUUUAAAAACAGCUUAAAUUAUAGUGUUUUGUUUAGUUCAAACAAUUAUGUUAAGGUGCAUAAUGCUAUUUUCUUUUUCCUUUGUAAGGUAAUAAUAUUUUGGGAAAUAGUUGAAAUACCCCAAAACUCUGAACUAAAAGGAACUUUGGUGUCUGGAGAACAACAUUUGUAUUAUGCAAAGUGUGAACAAGAAGGUAAAAUAGGAACAGCCAAAAUGUUUUGGAUCAGUAGAGAGAGUGUAAUGUAAUGACUCAUUGGAUGAUGAGUGGGAGUACUAGUACUAAUAGUAGUAGGGACCAAUCCUUUUUUGGCAAUGUGACAACUUCAAAUCGCAAUUAUAGUUUAGUGACAUUUUGGGACAUUACUGUGCCGACACGUUUAACGUCCAUAUAUACUAAUCUAGAGUCCACUGCACUACUUCAAGUUUGUAUCCAAUCAAAAACUGAUUUGCUGUUUUUCACUAAACGCCUUUGGAUUACUUGCUAAUAUGUUAUUUUCCAUUAGCUUUGUUUGUCUCUUCUAAAGAUUCUCUAGUCUUAAAAGUUCAUACCAAGUUACCAACCCGACCCAAACGGCACUCUUAGAAUAACAUUAUUGAUAGUAUCUUAGCAAAAUUUUAGGCUAAGAUAUAUGAAGAUAUAAGAUCUUAUUCGCUACGGCAACGCAAAGAAGAGCCACCACAUACAACUUUUAAAAAAGUUUGGAGGACCCAAAUGAAUACAACCAAAAGAUAUGGGGCUUACUUUUGGGGUAAGAAACAAUUUUAAGGGUCCAAUUGAUAAUGCAAAAAGAAGCCGCAGGUGGUGGUCUACUAUGAAAACUCCAUGGCCCCAAACUUAUGAAACCUUCCCCCACUAAUAAUUAAUAAAUCUACAAAAUCUCUAACUUUUUUUUUCCUUUCUUUUGAGCUAAAUCUAUAGCCCCCCGACAACAUAUAAUGUCAAUAGCAAAGUCUACAGUAUUGUAUUAAAAAUAUAAGAUUUGGCUAUUUCCCAUUCAUGCCACUUCAAAAUAAAGUAUUUAGAAACUGAUCAUGCUUGUUACAUACGUUUGUUUUGAUACAUAGUGGCAUAGGCCAAUAAAUGGGUAAACCUUAGAAGAAGUUAGAAGCUAUGAUCUAAAUUAUAAUUCCAAUUAGUCACAAACUCUAUUCUUUCAUGUUCUCGUAAAAGUGACAUUGAUUAGUGGUAAUGAAAAUGGACAGUGAAAAGUAAAAAAAAUAUAUAUAUAAAUAGUAAAAUAAUGGAAGUUUAUCAUAGGCCAUAAAAGCUUACACUAGUUUCAAUCUAACAUAAACAGAAGUAAAUUAGCAAUCAAUGCUUUUUUUUUUUUCUUCCUUUUUUUGGUAUCAGUUCCUUCUUCUUCCCCCACAUAAACUUUCUCAAUGGAAUCACAGGAACAAAAUAAACCUCCUGCAAUCUCAUAAUCCCAAUUCCUCCUAACUUUUUCCAUUUUUCUUUUUUGUUUCCUAUACACAACAGUACCACCAGAACAAUGUGUCAAGAUGAGAAGAAAAGCUCCCAUUUUUUUUGGUUCGUCUUUCGUCUCAAAACCUGGAUAGUGUCUGUAUUGAUGUUGGAGCAAUAUGGAAGAAAGAUUGUGUGGGGAGGGGUUUGACUUAGAGCUAUUUUAAUCAAUCUGAAUGAGUCAAAACAGCCAUUUCUUUCUCUUGCUUCUUCUUCAAGUGUCUUUGCGCAGUUGCUGUCACAAUCUUGACGAAGAAGUUGAGGAGCAUGAGCCACACUAUCCCGUUCCAGAUCGAUGCAAACGAAAAAUCCCAUUUGUUCACCUACCCAAGACAAAAGAAGAACUCAAAAUUCAAAACUGAACUUUUGUGAAAGAUGCUAAUGAAACUUUCAUAGUUAAGGAAUGGAAAAGGAGUUAAGAGUUAAGAAACGGGGUAGCCAAAGGUUGUUUACCUUGAUGUGAGAUGGAACAGGGGAUGGUGCAUCAAUGUACUUUUCUUUCAUGGCGUGGAGUUUGGCUGUGAGUCCAGGCAACAUCGAAGCCAAACCCGGGACAUGGCUUAGUAUCCAUAUCAGCUCGUUCUCCAUCCAGUCGAGCAGUUGGUUAUUACAAACGCAAAUGAUAAAUAUUGUCUUCAUUAAGAAAGGAAAAACACAGAAGAAUGAAAGUUAAAAACUGAAAACCAUUUGGGUGUUGAAUAUUGAACCUAUGAAAAAAGAGGUUCCGCACCUGUAUGUGAGUUUUGAUGAUCGCCUUUCCGAUUAAAGUCGCCAGAAAGAAUUCCCAAAACGGAAUUCCAAAUUGUCCACACAUUAUUCCAGCAAGGUCAAACAAAGGAUUUGGAACCUGCACUCAAAUAAAAGUGGUGAGUAUUGGUAAAUCCUAAUGCAAAGUAUUGACCAAGAUGCCAAUACAUAAGGUCCUGAUCAUUGAUUACUAGAGAGCAAAAGAUGGUACAUGACACGGUAAAUACAGUCAUAAUUAAUUGUUACUGCAGGAGGUAAGGUAAGUUGGACAAUGUAUACUAACCGAAGCUAGAACCAAGACGGUAAAGAAAUUCAAGUGUUGCGAAUGGGUUAAUAACCAACGCUUAAUCCGGUUCAGGUAAGUCGCCAUAAAUCCGCUAUCCUCAGAUGAAGAACCAUCU